AAUUUACAAACAAUUGCACUAAUAUCAACAAAACAAAAUUGAAAAAGAAGAAUAAAAAACAGAACUUCAAUAUAACUUUACAAUUAUUGAACAUUUAAAAGAAUGUUUCUAUGUUAGAUUUUCAUUCAUAUAAUUUAUUCCACAAUCAAAGAACUAUAAACCCUAACACACAUUAUCUUCUACAACAACUAAUCCCCCCCCCCCCCCAAAAAAAAUGAAUUUCUAAUUUUUUUUUUUUAAAAAGAACAUAAAUAUUUCCAUUUUUGGGUAUAUAUUAUAAAUUACAGAAACCCAGUACCAGCAAGACCAUGAUGUAAAAGAUUAUGAGCAAUAGCAUCUCUAGCUUUCAAUGAACUCACCGAUCUUAACCCAUCUUCAGCCACCAUUUCAUCAUCAAUAACCUCAAUUUUCAACUCAGGAUCGAUCCCUUCCUUCUUCAUUUCACAAAUAUUAUGUAAAACGCAGCAUGCUCCGAGCACCACCGGCAAAUCCUGUAAUUUCACCUCCGUUCUUUUCUGUAAACAACACCAUCUCCCUUUUAAUCUCCCAAAUGCUUCUUUAGCUACCUUUUGGAUCUCACCAAUCUUUUCAUUGAAUGCGUGUUGUGUCCAUGUUAAAUGCUGUUGAUUGUAAGGAACUAAAACCCAAUCCAUUAAUGGAUACCCAGAGUUUCCGACCACCCAAACGCCGUUCAAUAGACCACCGUUUUUAGCCCUUUGGAAAAGAGCUGAUUUUUCGAGGACUUGAUCGUCGGUCAUUGAACCGGGCCAACCGAUACAUACGUCGGUGAAAACACCGGUCGGGUCGACGACGCCUUGUACGGUGAUCGAAUACGACGUUUUCUGGUUCCGUUCUGUAUGUCUUUUAUUGAAAUAUGCAGCCACGCUUAUCUUCGGAGCGAUGAUUGGUAUAUGUGUAGUGUACAUCGAUCCGACGACGUUUGGUAUUCCAGAAAUGCCCUCGAAUUGUUGUUUUAUUUUCCGUAACGAGUCUUCGUCCGGCCAUUGUAAGUAUUUCGGCAUCAAAACGUUGCGUAUUGCUGAACAGACUUCGAGGACCAGUUUGUGACACGUCGAGAUGCCUAAACCGAAUCGUUUCGAAACGAGCCGUAACGGUUCACCCGUCGCCAAACGCCAAAUGCAAACAGCUACCCUUUGUUUCACCGGGAUCGCGUUCCGUAACGUGGUGUCUUCUUUGGCGAUAACGGCUUUUAGCUCAUCGCAUAUGAGGUCAAACGUUGACUUGCUCAUCCUAAACGCCUUCUUGAAUUCUUCUUCCGGGUAAUCGGGUCGGUUACAUUCAUCCCACCAUGCGUUUGACCUAUCUUUCACCCAUAACCGUCUCUGUUGACCCGACCCGGAUUUCCCAUUCCCGUCCUCAGCCACAUGAUUCGAAGCGGUAGCAACCACAGUCGCCGCCUUGACACGGGAUUUCUUCCGCUUUACACGGUCGGUUUCGUCGAUUUUAGAGUAAUAAUCAUUUAAAUUAGAGUGAAAUUCAAGCAUGGUUCGGGUUCCUUUAGUAUGAGUAGACUCCAUAACCGAUUUCUCUUCUUUGAACGCAUCGUUUCGUUCCUCCCGAUCUCGCUUUUCUUGCUCAUCAAGCAAGAUUAACGAAGUGAUGAUACCAUUCAAAUCUUUCUUCUUCGUUUCACGACCACUGGAACAGCUAUCGUCGUUUUCGCCGUCGUCUUCGUCGGCAGUGAACCCCUCCUUUCGUCGCCGUUUGCAAUUGUCACCGUUAUUCAUUUCAAAAGAAAACAAAGAAAAACAAGAAAAAAAAUGGGGUCUUGAAAUGCCAAAGCUGAGAUAUUCAUAUAUAUCAAAGAGAUUUAAGGUGAAAUUGGAAAGAUACUGAUUUUUUUUUUUAAAAAAAGGGCAAAAAAUAGGGUUUGAAAAGUGAAGAAAAGGUGUGAAAAAGGUGAGGGGCGUGUGUGAACACAAAGAGGUUCAAUUUGACAAAUGAAGCAUUAUUUGUGCAUCGAAGCUUUUUAUAUGUGAGACAAUUGUUACGGUAAGGUGGCAAUCUAUCAACAUUAAUGAGGCUUAUCUAUUUCGCUCUUUUAAUCAUUGAAUUUAAUUUUGUAUUCUUAAUAUAUCCACCAAAAUAGAUAUAUCUUUAUACUUAAAUGGGGAAUAUAAAACGAUAUAAUUGUUUAUUUAAUUUUUUAUAAAUUGAUAAUUUAAUUAUUUGUUGAUUAAAUGAAAAAAAAAGAAGAAGCAUUUUUCAUUCUUCUAAAAAUUUCUAAUUUAAUUUUAUUCAUUUAAACAUAAAUUUUGAAGUUUUUUUGAUUUUAUAUUUGAUUCCAACACAAAAUUUCUAACUUUACUUUGGUGUGACUACAUCAACACUUACGAAAUUAAAAAAUUUCACUAUACCAAUCAAUAAUUCAAAAUUCAUAUCACAAAUGUAUGAAACCAAUACAUAACGACUUAUUUGGCUCUUCAACUUUAUAAAAAAAAAAGGUCAUUUUAGUCAUCAAUUUAAUAUUUUUUACCUAUUUGCCCUCAAACUUAUGUUGUUAGUCAAAUCAUACCAAAAUAAAUGAAAAAGUUAAUAUUUGUUAACUUUACUCACAUGACAUCCAUGUAUAUGUCACACCAACAAUUAAUAAUUUUUUUAAAAUUUUAAAAAUAUAAAAGUCAAAAAAAUAAAAUUAAAAAAUAGAAAUAUUAAAAUGAUUAAAAAUGAUAAAAAUAUAACAUUUAUUUAAUAAUAAAAAUUAUGAUAAUAUUCUAUAAGAAAAGAUUUAAUUUAUUACAUACACGUGGAUUGUUAUGUCAACAAAGUUAACAACGCUGACUUUUCUAUUCAUUUCGGGGUGUUUUGACAAAAAGCGCUAGUUUAACAUGUAACAUUCCAAAAUUUUCAACUGGACACGUGACACAAUUUUGGUAACUGAUACAGUGAAUUGGUGAGAAAAUUUGGAAAUUGAAUUGGUUAAAGGAAUCUUAUGGAAUCAAAGUUGAUAAUCGAGAUGAGAAAAUUUUGAAAAGAAUUUAGAAGUGGAAAUGUGACAAAAGGAUCAAAUUGAAAAUUUUGAAAAUUUAGAGAUUAAAUUGUAAAUUUCACAUUUUCACCAGAAAAAGGGAAAAACUUUAAUUCUCGCCACUCAAGGACUUAUAUUAAAUAUUUAUUAUGAUUUAUAAUCUUGAAUUGGUCUUAAGUAUUGAGUUUUGAAAAAAAAAUCACUAAAAAAGACAAAAGGGGGAAAUAUGGUAAUUUUGCCAUAAAAGGGAAAUUUGCUCAAUUUCCGAGACCUUUAUGAUGGAAAUAAUAUUUAAAUAUGAUAUUUAGUAUCCGAAAUUAUUUUAGACAGUGGGAACUCCGUAUUAAGGAAAUGACCCACAUGUUGAUAUUUUUGUAGGGGACGAGAACCCUUAUCAGCCUCAUUUUCUCUAUUUUUCUUUUUUCCAGCUAGUAGCAUUAGCCAUUGUUCUUCUUCUUCAUCUCCUUGCUUAUUUCCUCAUUUUCUCUCAAAAUUUCCACUACCCACAUUGAGAUAAUGUUGAAAUCUUCAUGAAAUCAACCCUUAAUCUCAUUUCCUUCAUCAAUUUCAGCCAUGGAAGCCUAGGGUUUCAUGAGUUUUAGUGGGAUAAUUUAUGGCUUGAGUGAGAAAACUCUAAUAAGGUAAGAAAUGAUUUCCUACACCUACGUUAGCUUGAUAUUUGCAAUGAUUUGUCAUGAGAAAGCUUAGAAGAAAUUUAUAUUUAUUUUUGAAUGUAUUUUUGUUAUACGAAAAUAAAGAGAUGGUGAUUUAUGGAAAUUAUAAGCUUAAAUUACGAUAGAGUGGAGCUCAUGGAAGCUUGAUUAAGUGUUUUAGAACAUCCAUUGAAGUAAGUACCUUGGAUACUCUUAUGUAUCUUAUAUUAAAGUUUAUGAAUUAGGUAAAAAUAUAGGUGAUAAAUUUGGAAUGGAAAUUUGUAAUAAACAUAUGCAAAUUCCAUGGUUUAAAGGAUAUAUGAAAUAACUCUAUAACGUGUUAUGUUGGAAUUGUUAGUUAAGAAAUGCUUUGUAAAAUAAAAAUAUGCAUGAUAUGGAGAUAUUAAUUGUUAUGAAUGUGUUAGUAAGCAUGGUUUGACAUAUAAAAUUAUAUUAUUAAUGUAAAAAUAUGAAUAGAUAGCAUUGUGGCAAAAAAUAAGACUUAUUGGUGAAUUUAUGUUUUUAGUCGAUAUCAUGUUAAAAUAUGAGAAUUGAUAUGUAAAAGAUAAAGAAGAAUGAAAAUAUGACUUUUUGCUUUUGGGAGCUAUUAUAUGAAAUGGAUAUGUUUACAAUGCCUAAAGAAAUAUGAAAAUGAGUAAGUAUAUAAAAAGAACGCAUGGUGCCUAUAUGUGGAGAUGAACACGCUCAAAAGGCCUUUAUUAAUAUGAUUUUGAACAUGAAUAUUCUAAGGUGCCCUUAUAUGAUGUGUGUACAUGCGUUUGUUGGAUACUUGUUAAUUAUAAUUGUAAAGUGCCCUAGUAGACUUACUAAAAUGUUAGGAUAUGGUUGGCAUGCCAAUUAGGGGCUAUAGCGUGUUGGAGUUUUGUCGGAGUUUUCACACUUAUGUGCACUUUAUAUUGCCUUCAAGCCUUGCACUUAAGUGCAUCUUGAUGUGUAGUUUAUGCUUUCAUGAACUCUUUGGUGUGGUGGAGGGAUGCUGGCUCUAUCUUAUAGUUUCACACUUCGGUGCUCAUUGGUGUGGUAGAGGAGUCUCGUGUACCCGAGUUGGUUUUACUAGAGUUUACUAUGGGCGAAAAUGAGUUAAAUGUUGUUAAUAAACUUUAAAUGUUACUAUAGAUGGAAAAAAGUAAGAGCAAGUGUUAUGAACUAAGUGUCAUGUAACUAAAAGAGAUGAAAAUAAGGUAAAUGUAUAGGCAAUCAAAAGAGAAUUUCACAUGAUAAUGAGAUUUAAUAGUGUGGGACCUAGUGAACUUACCUUAAUCGAUAUUAAGGAAAUUGAUGAUUUAAGCAAGCCAUAGUUCAAAGAAAUGAAAACGAUGUAUAUGAAUCACAUAAAGACUAAUGACUAUAAAUGGAAAAUGUGAAAGAACAUGUCAAGCUACUAUAGAUUCUACUUAAGAGUUUUGAAUAGAUAUAUUUUCAAUAAAUGAAUUGGUUAACAAAUUGUUAAUGUGUAAGAUGAGCCCCUACACUUCGGUAAAUCAAAACAAAACAACGAAUAAUACUAAAAUGUGGCUCGAAUGAAACUAACAUGAAAUCCAUAAUUAAAAUUAAUUCAAUAUAAAGCACUUGAAAUUCAGAAUAUAAUCACACCUAAAUCAAAAUAAAUAUGAACAAAAUCCACAUAUAAUAUGAAAAAAAAUGAUCUACAUAUUAUAUUUGUAUAUUGUAAGACUCAAACUUCAAUCCUUAUGUAUCAAGCAUCAUUGCUUAUUUAAAGGUAAAACUCUUUAGAAUUAAAAACAUUAAAAAAAUAGCUCAAUUUUGAUAUUUAGAUUUGCCAUGGAAACAUUUAUAGACAUUGAUUUUAAUCAAGGAAUGUAUUUUUCAUAAAAAAAAAUUGUAUUUAACAAAUUUAAAUUAAGGUUAAUAUAAUUUUUGAUACUUGAAUUUUGUUUUAAUGUUCAAUUUGGUAUUUGAGUUCUUUUGUCACAAUUCACAUACCAAAUUAAAUGGACAUAAUGACAAAUUAAGCCCUUAACAUUUACAUUUAUUGUCAAUUUGGCUCUUAAUUUUUUUGCUAGCUUUGACCUUUAACUUUUUAAAAAAGUCGAAUUCGGCCAUCAGCCUUCCAAAAAAAAUAUAUUUUUCUUAAUGAAAAUAUUGAUUAAUACAUUAAAUUUUUAAAUAUAGCAACACAUAUGAUGAUUGCCACACUAACAUUGUUAAAAAAAUUAAUAUUUAGUCAGCGUUUUCAUUAAAAAUGCAAUUUGAUUCAUUUUGAAAUUUAAUGAUCAAAUUUAAUUUUAAAAAAAUUUAAAUUAAAUUGACAAAAAAAUUUAAAUAUUGAGGACUAAAUUUAUCAUUAUAUUAAUUAUAUAUUAAAAAUAAAGUAUGAAUUAGAUUGAAAGAAAGUCAAACGUUACAACUUAUGACUGGUGGCGGUCGGUGUGGGGCGGUUGGUGAACUUUCUUUUGCUUUGCGUCGCAGACCCUCCAUUUGACUUGGUCAAAUUCUAGUUUUAGUCUUUUUAUUAUACUAAAUUUUAUAAUUUAAUCCUUGAUUUUAAUUUGGCAUACUUUUAGCAUAUCUAUUUUGAUAUUCACCGUCAGUUGCUAUCAUUAAUGUGAAAUCUUUUUAUUUUUACUGGUAUUCAAUUAUAUAGUUAGGAAACUAAAUACUUGAGGAUCCUUUAUAAAAUAUUUCACCUCAUCACUUGACAUUAUAAAAAUAAAAAUAAAAACUAAAUUUUGUAAAUUUUAAAUAAAAUAAUUAAGUCUUGACAUAAAAAUAAUUAAUAUCCGAUUUUUCAGUUUUUUAAAGAAAAUUUAAAAUUUUUUAAUAUACUUUUUGAAAUUAUUUUCACUAAUUUAUAUAUAAAAUAUUACAAAAAAAUUAAAAACUACUUAUAAAUUAAAUAGAAAUUGAAUUUUGUUUGGAUUGUAAUAACUCUUAUCUUAUAAAUCGAAAAUCAAAUUGAAUCGAAUCAAAUAAAUUUAAUUAAUAACUUACUCAAAAUUUAAUUGAAGUCGAAACAAACACUAUAGUUAGAAUGAUUUUUUAUUUUCCCGAUUUUUAUCAUAAUCUACAAAUAAAUGGAUUUGCAUGGUUGUUUGGACAUGACCUAAAAAAUAUUAAAACUAUUGGCUUAUAAAUCAAAUUAAAAAUCAAUUGAAUAUUUUUAUUUUAAAAUUUUAAAAAUUUAUUUAAUCGAACUAACCAUAACUAUUCAAAACGUUGCAGACUUGAGUCAUUGGCAAUGACGUACUCAAUAAUCAUCCCCAGAAAGAAACAAGUAUAGCAAGAGAUGCUUUGCUUGCUGAAAUUGACAAUUGACCCUUUUUAACAAUGGAUUCCUUUACAUUAUUUUUUAUGCCAAUGUCCAAUUUUGUGGAAAUUUAUGUCUUUUUGUCUACCUGCUUUUCAUUUAUUCUUUUCGCUUUCUCUUUUACCUUUUCUUUUUUUAGAUAAAUUACAUCUAAAAUCAUGAAACUAUUAAUAAAUUUAUAUUUUGGUCAUUUAAUUUCAAUAAAUUAUAAAAAUAAUUAUUGAAUUAUUCAAAAUUUUUCAUUUAAGUCAUUGAAUUGUUAAAAUCGUUAUUGUAUGACUUUCUUUGUUCGCAUCUCCUACAUCAAUCGAAAACUCUCUUUUAGUUAUUUGUCAAAAUGAAUGAAAAAGUUAAUAUUUGUUAACUUUGCUGACGUAACAUACACAUGGAUUGCCAUGUGAAUGUUAUACCACGUCAGCAAUGUUAAUAAACAUUAAUUUUUCCUUCCAUUUUGGGUUGAUUUUACAAAUAAUGUCAGUUCAAGGACUAAAAGAGGGAAAAAAAUAGAUGAAUGACUAAACUGACUUUUUUUAAGAGUUGGAGGGCCAAAAAUAAAUUAUUAUGUAAAAAGAAAAAUAAAAGGGGAAAAAAUUGCAUGGGAAUCUUUAUAUUUCCAUAAAAGUAUAGGCCCUGGAAUAAAGGAUAGAUGACGUUUUGAUCCAACAACUCCCCGGUAAUCAUGCAGAUUUACGUAUACACAUAUUUUAUAUUUACGUUAUUCUAUUUUUAAAUUUUUUUAUUUGAUAAUUAAAAAGAACCUCAUUAUCUUUGCAAUUAUGUAACGUAGAUAAACUAUGCCUAAUUAUGGAUUUAGUCCUUUUAUCUGAAUAUUUUUAUUUAAUCUCUUUAUUUUAAUAUGAGCAUAUUUGAUUCUUCUACUUUUAUAAUAUUAUUAGUAAGUUCAAAUGGAUAAUAUUGUUACUCGUUAAAAUGAUGACAUAAAAUUUCUCUUAAAAAGACUGACUGAGUUUUAAUUCAAUCGACAUAGGUAUUAUUACCAAUGCAGGAGAACAUGGGUUCGAGUGCACUAUCCUCCUACUUAUGGGUUGCAGAGGGGUUAUAGAUAGUUCUAGACAUUUUGGCAAACAACUAAUGAUAAUAUAAAUUUAGACUUAUUAAUAUAAUGUUAUAAAUGUAAAAAAAAAACCCAAAUUAUGCCGAAUAAAUUCUAAACUUUAGUAAACUAGAGGGACUAAAACAACAAUUACACCGAUAAAGCAAAAACAAAACGUUGGUUUAUUUAAUGGAUGAGCAUGUGAUUUGGCAGCUGAAAACAAGGGAAAGAGUAAAAUUAGUAGGAAAGUAGUAGCCUCCAAAAAGAUUAGGGGCUUAAUGCUGCAAUUGACUUGAUUUAGUAAUGGUCAGUGGAUCCAUGUAGGGUUAACAAAUUCAACAUUUUCUGCUGCUACUUUUCCCUUUAGUUUCCCAGUUUUUGAAUAAAAGGAAAGGCAAGUCCAAAAAAAUAAAGGAGUCCUCCAUGUGUUUGUUGUAUCUCCUCUAAGAGCCUUUUUUUGAUCAGUAAAGCAAUGAUUUCUCAUUUUACAUACUAACAUGAGAUAUUGGUAACAGUAAAAGUUGUUGAAUGAGUUUACCUACAAAGUCUGCUUCCUUGUUUCUUUCAAAGCAAUUAUCAAACAUAUUUUUACAUUUAAAUACAUAUAUGUACAUAAUAAAAUUUGUGUGACGCGAAUCUCGUCACUUAUUAAAGAAAUAAAUAUUGUGAUAAAAUAAGGAAAUAUAUGGGGCGAGAGGCUGAGUACCAUACUGUGGCAUGAAAGAUCAAAUCUUGUGAUACACAUCCCACACUCCUAAUUUGAUUAUAUCAAUUUAUUUAUUAAAAGAUUAUUUCUUUUUUAUUUCGCUUGUAAAAUAUUAAAAGAUUAUUAUAUGGUGUAACGGUUUGCGAAAUUAUAAAAUUCAUAAAACUCUAUGGGUAAUGUACAAAAAUAGUUAUUUGGUGUGAAAGCAUGAAACUCUAAAAAAGGGUCAAAAUUGAAGUUCCAAAUAUUUGUUGGGUUUGGCAAAAUUGCAGGAAAACCCAUUUAUAUUCACUAUUCAUUCCAGUCCAACUACUUCUUACGUUCACAUUAUAAAGCACUUUAAUUAUAGUAUACUGAGUUUCCUAAAUAAUAAUUUAAUAAUGGAAAAAUUAUAGCAGAGGUGACUCAACUGUGGUUUUCCUUUUUUUCUCAUCAAAUUAUGAAAAAUUACAAAAUGGUCAUUCUCUUAUUUAAUUUUGUCCUUUUCGGUUACCAGAUGGGUAACGUAAAAAGGAAACACUCAAAAAUCUAAGAUAUUUGGGUGAUAAAAAAAGAAGACAAAUUUUAUAGUUGGGCGACAAAAAAAAAAAAAGAACCAUAGUCGGAUGACUACUAAUGUAGUUUACCCUUUAAUAAUUUGUUCAUUUGAUGAUAGUUAGGAACAAAGUUGUUUGAACCGGACAGGGCCGAUCGAUUGGACUGGUUGAACUGGAAACUAAUCAAGGUAUCGAUCCGGAAAAGAAAUUUGGACUGGUUGACUAAGAAACUAAUACGAAUUGAUUGAACUUGGUAAAAAACCCAUUGAACUAAAUUUUUAAUAUAUAUUUUUAUUCUUUUAAUAAAUUUUUAAUGAUUUACCUAAUUGAAUCAAACAAACUAGUUGAACGGUUAAACCGACAAUUCAUUGACCUAACCAAUUCAAAAACUAAUCCAAUUCUAAAAAUUUUGAUUAAGACAAAGUUAAUCAUACUUCAACUCAGAACAAACUACCCAACUCCAAAGAUUGGAAGUGACUCAUCAACAUUACAAAUUCAUACUUUUUUUUCAAAGAUAUUUUUUUGUUUUCCAUAAGAUGAAGAUGCCAUAGGUUGAAGUGAAUUCUAAUUGAAAUUGGAAGAAUACUUUGCUGGUAAACUAGUUCCAUGUUUGUCUAAAUUAAGCAAUUACAAUAUCAUGUCUUCAAUAAUUUUGUUGGUAACACCAGACAUCAAAUUGGUUAAAUAUUUGCUCGUGAAUUCUAAUAUUAUAAUUUUUUUUUAAAAAUUUAAAUUUAACUUUUUUUAUUUUAAAUAAAUCUAUUUGUUUCAUGACAUCUUUUAUUGGUCAAAAGAUGUCACAUGGCGUUUUUUAUUAAACAAAGUUGUCUAACAUAUUUUUUAAAUGACCAUUACAAAAAGGACUAAAAAUAGAGAAAUUGUACCAAAAGAAUUAAGUACCAAAAUAGAAAAAUGAGUAUGCUUUUUGGGCCAAAUUGUGAAUUAUACAUUUCCUUUCUAUUAUUUAAAAAACGGUGAGGAACUAUGUGGCUUGCGGUGUUUGGUGAGGCCGAGAGUUAGGGUUAGCUCUGAACUCAACAGUUAAAUUGCGCAAAUUACUAACCUCUGUUUUUUGUUCUUAACGAUGCCAAGAUAGAGAUGAGAGCUGGCAGAGGAGGGCGUCGCCAGGUAUGGGUAGUUGGCCACUGGACCGGAAGCCACUACUUGUCCUAGGCAAUUACAAGUACUAAAUCGUAAACCUUAGAAAAAUAGGGGUCAUUUUGUAAUUUUCCCAAUUAUAUAUUUUUGUAAUUUUGGUAUUUUUUAAAAUUUCUUGUAAUUUUUUUUAAUUUUAAUAAAAUAUAGUUAAGUACUUGUUUUAAUAUAAUCUAUACUGCUGUAUAAAAGGAAUGUCCCAAGGUUCCACAACCGACACCUCUCCAUUGUUUUCUCCCCCUUUUUUGACAUAACAACAUAAUGAGUAAAUUUCAAGUUCAAUUCCUCUACUUUUUUUAGAUUAUAAGAAUGGGUAAAUUUCAAUUUAAUCUCUAUAUUUCGGUUAAAUUUGAGAUUUAAUCUAUAUAUCUUAAUUUUGACAUAAUAUGGUAUCUCAAUUUUUAUAAUGUCAUUUGUUAGUCUAAAUACUUUAUUCUAAUUAAAAUGAUGAUGUGAAUUUUUAAGAAUUGUUAGCAUUGUUAAAAUUCUUUAUUAAAUACCAAGUGAUUUUUUUUUAAUUUCAAAAUACUACAUCAACAAAUUUAAUAAAAGAAUUUUUGCAGUAUUAACAAAAUAAUUUUAACAGUAUGAACAAAUUGACCUAAAUUUUUAAAUUAGAAAAAUAAUUGACUAAAUUUCUGACAAUAAAGACAUAAAGAUUAAAUUUUAAAUAUACGAAGAGUAAAAAAUCUUUGAGCAAAUUAUAAUUUUUAAAUUUUUAUCUUGUAAUUUAGUAAAAAAAAAUAAUUAAUCCAAUGCAAAGCAUGGAUUAAAACUAUAAUAUUAACUAUAUAUAAAAGGAAGGCCUUAAGCUAUUCCUCAAUUUACACGUGUCUCACCAAUUCAUUGGUGCUUUUUUUGAGCUUAAUAUAAUAUUUUGUACUUUAACUUGACAAUUUUUCUUAAUUUAGUAUUUAAUUUUUUUGUCUAAUUUGACACCUGAACUUGAUAUUUUUUCUAAUUUGACACCUAAACUUUUUUUUACUCAAUUUGGCACAUGAACUAGGCAUUUUUCCUAAUUUAGUACUUAAGCCUUUUUUCAGGUUCAAUUUAAUACUUGAACUUAUUAAAUGUUAUGCAAAUUACGCCAAACAAUUAGGCUGUGUUUGUUUACCUGUAAAAUAAUUUACGAAAAAUAUUUUCAUCAUUUUCCACUGUUUUGAUGGAAAAUGAAUUCCCACCAUAAAACCUUCUCCAAAACACGGGAAAAGAAGGCUUUAUUUCAGGAAAAUGUCUUACCGUUUUCAUUUGGUAAGACAUUUUCCAAAGUUUUUUUCUUCAAUAGUAAACGUAACCCAAAGCCUCUUUCCCCUUCUCCUUUCCUUCCCACUCUAAUCUAGUGCUUGCCGCCAACCAGCAACGAUUCCCAACACUAGUCGCCGGCAUUUACCUUUGAUUUUCCUCCUUUUCGCCUUUCGUUGUCGAAAUAUGCAUUGCACCAAUCAACGAUGGUGUUCAUCUUUCUCUCUCGAAGGUAAGAAUGAAAAAAAGGAAGAAAUAUGUGAUUGUUUUUUAGUAGCAACAUGUUGUUUUAGCCUAAUUGGUUGCUGGUUAAUCCCUUUUUAUUUUUUAUUUUUUUUUAUGGUUUUUGUUAUUUUUAUGUUUCAUCUUUUUUGAACUGUGCAAGCUGAAUUUUUGUUGGUGGUAAUGGAAUAAUUAAGAUAUGGUAAUGGUGGUGGUGGCUGAGACACAACUAAUGAGCAAAACUUCAAAGUCUUUAAUUUCUCACAUUAUUUGUUCAAAUGGGAUUAGUGGGCAUAAUUUUAUUUUCUUCCCUUUCUUUUUUCUUCUAAUAGAAAUCAAUUUUGUUUUCCCCUUUUUCUUGGGGUAAAAAAAACUUUUUUUCUUAUAUAAAUCAUUGAUUAGCUCGAAUUUUGACCCAUUAUGGUACAUUUUCUCUAUUUACCCUUCUCUAAUAAUUGAUCUAAUGAAUCAAUUGCAUGUUUUUUCUUCUCUUUUUGCAUUUCAUUUCGAUGAAUUAUUGUUAAAUACAAACAAUUAUAAUGGAACGGAAUGUUAAAAAUGCUCUUUUUGAAUGAUUAUUUGGAUGCAUUUAGUUUGCUUGUAAACUUUUAGGUAAUUCAGAUUCGUGAUGCAACAAUAAUUUGGUUAGUAAUUUCUUGAUAAUCUGCUACAGAAGUUAUGGAUGUUAUGUCUUGGAUAUAAUCUUGUUUCAAGUUAAAAUGAUUUGGUUCAACUUUUUUGCUCUCUUUUAGUAUCAUUAUGAAUUUAUAAUUUUGAUUUUACAAGUGAGUAAUGUAAUCUAAAUCGAAAGGGUAGGUCAAUUUACAGGGUGUAGUCGAGCUCAAAUCAUUCGAAACUCGAUCUGAAAUGCAAGGCUUCAAGCUCAACUUGAGUUUGAUUGAAUUUUGCUUUUAUAGCUGAAGCAAUUUCAGAUAAUAGUCGAACUGGAUGAACCUCAAUUAAAGUGAAAUAUAAACUCAGUUUUUAUACUCAAGUUUGAUUCAAAUUGAAACAAUAGUAAUUAAAAAGAAAAAGCUUGAUUAAGCUCUUAAACUACUUGACUCAGAUACUCAAGUUCAGCUCUUCCACUAGCUCGAGCUUGAUUUGACGAUGGUCAAGAUGAAUUCAAGUUUUUUCAAGUUGAAGCCAAAUAGCGUUUUGUAGCGACGUAAAAAUUUCUGCUUUCGUUCGCUAAUUAAGGCGAUUAUUUGAAAAUUUAAAAACCGACAUUUGAUUUUAUUAAAAAAGGGAGUCGCCACCGAUCUUUUUUCUAAGUGUGACCGGACACCUAAUAAAUCAUCCUUUUUUAGAAAAGAAAACUUAUUCUUGCACAAAAAUGAAGGCCGAAUUUAGGUCUACGUCAAAAGCCAGAGUAAAGUUGGGUUCGGGAGUCGGUUACGCGCGAGGAAGAUAUUAGCACCCUUGCGACGCCCAAAAUUGGUAUCUUGUUAAACUCGUGUUGUCUUGAUUUUCAAAAGUACGAAUUCAAUAUGACAUUUACUCGUGAUCCAAUUGAAAAAUGAGAAUUUUUAGUUUUCGAUUUUUUUUAGAAAGGGUGUCCCGUUUUUUAACACAAGCCGACGAAUUUCACCCAACAUAGCGAUGAAAUCGAUGACUUAAUAUUAAAUCGGUACAUUGCCUUAUUUUUUAAAUUAAUUAAAACAUGAGAAAAAAUAUUCCUAAAGUGAGAAAUUAAAAAUAGAUAAAGGACGCAAAAAAAAUGAUAUCAUUAAUGAAAAAUAUUAACAUGGAAUACUAGAAUAUUAGAAUAACAAUAAUAAUAUUUACAAAAAAAAUAAAAAAUAAAAACAAAUCAUGUACUAAUAAAAAAAUAGGAAAAAUAAUAUAUUUGGUAAUAAUAAUAUAAAAUAAUAAUAUGUACAUAAAAAUACAUAUAUAUAUGCAUAUAAUAAAAGUAUGUAAUAAUAAUAUCUACAACAAAAGAAAAUAUUAGGAAACAUACAUAAAAAAAUAUAUACAUAAAAAAUUUACAACAAUAAUAUAAAAUAAUGAUAUGUACAAAAAAAAAUGUAUAUAUAUACAUAUGUACAUAAAAUAUACACUAAUAUAAUAAUAGUUAUAAUAAUACUCGCAAUAGUAAUAAUUUGUAAUAAUAAUAUAUACACAAUAUGGUAUUUAAAAUAUAUAUAUAUGUAUAUAUAAUAGUAUUUAAGAAUAUAUACAUAAGAUGAUAUAAAAUACAUACAUAGAAUAGUAUAAGAAAUAUAUAACUAAUGGUAUUAAAAAAUAUAUACAUAAUAUAUAUAAAAUACAUAUAAUAUAUAUACGUAUUAGAAAUGAUAAAAAAAAUUAUUAACACACUACAUAAGUAAAUAAAAUAUAAUAAUAAUACUAAAAUAAUUAAUUUAAAUAGUAAAGUAACUAAAAAGAAUUAAAUUGAACUAAAAACAAAAUAUUUGGGGCAAAAUUGAAAUAAAAAUAAAAGGAAAGGACUAUAUUGAACACGCGCGGAAAUAGUGGGGGGGGCCAAAACAGCAAAUAUUCCUUCCCAUCAAAACUCAGCACAUCAGCGAGGACUAAAUUGAAAAUCGCGACAAAUUUCGAGGCCAAAUUAAAAAAACGAAUAAUGACUUAAUUGCAAAGCAAUAAAAAGCGGAAGGGCUAAAAGCGCAAUUAGCCAUUCCUUUAAAAAAACACGCGAAUCCUAGGUGAGUCGGGUCGGGUCGAACCGAUCCAUGUCAAAACGACGUCAUUUUGGGGUUUAAUGGCCAACCCCAAAACGAUGUCGUUUUGGGGGCUAUAAAAGGCCCUUUUUCUUCAAAAAAAUUCAUUCUUGCACUUGAAAAAAAAAAAGAGAGGGAGAGGGGUGAGGUGAUUUCCGGCCACAAGGCCGGUCACCAUCCGGUCACUGGACCAUCGCCGGCCGCCGCGUCGACCAUCGCCGACCGCUGCCGCCGACCACCGCCACGGUGGCCGGGAAAGGUAAAACAUAUUUGAUGUUUUUUUUACUGUAAUAUUUUUUAUCUAUGUCUAUAUAUAUAUGUUUUUUUUAUAUAAAAAUAAAAGAAAUAAGAGUAUAUAUAUGCGAAAGAAGAAAGUAAAGAUAAAAGAUAAAAAAAAUAAACUAAAAAGAACAAGACCUUCGUGUGAUGAAUCGGUUUUUGAUCAGCUUGCUAUCUUUUGUUUAAAUCUUUUUUUUUUGAUAUAUCAAUGCCCCUUUUACAUGAUUUUUGAAUGGCUUUUUAUAGUCAUCUUUUACAUGAUUUUCUAUUAUUUCUUUUUCUAUUUCUUUUGUCUGUCUUGCUUGUUUGCUUUGCUUUUGCAGGGUGUGGCUUGGUGGAGCAGGUGAUGGUGGCAGACAAUGGAUAUUAAAAAUGGGGGGAAAAUGAGGCAAGUGGGAAAGUGGCUAGGUGGCUAGCGUUUCUUGAUUUUUUUUUUGAGUUAAAAUUUUUUUUUGGUUAGGUUUUUUUUUUUUGGUUUAAUGGGCUUUUGAAUUGGGUUUAAUAUUUGGGUUUUGUAAUGGGUUUGGGUAGAUGUAAAUGGGUCAUGGGUUAAGGGUUUUAGUGGGUUUAGAGGUUUGGUUGGGUUUUGAUGUAAUCGGGCCCGGGCAAAUUGGGCUUCUACCUAACCAAACCUCUAAACCCACUAAACCCCUUAACCCAUGACCCAUUUACAUCUACCCAAACCCAUUACAAAACCCAAAUAUUAAACCCAAUUCAAAAGCCCAUUAAACCCCCAAAAAAAAACCUAACCCAAAAAAACCUAACCCAAAAAAAAAAAUCAAGAAACCCUAGCCACCUAGCCACUUUCCCACUUGCCUCAUUUCCUCCCAUUUUUGAUAUCCAUUGUCUGCCACCAUCACUGCUCCACCAAGCCACACCCUGCAAAAGCAAAGCAAACAAGCAAGACAAACAAAAGAAAUAGAAAAAGAAAUAAUAGAAAAUCAUGUAAAAGAUAGCUAUAAAAAGCCAUUCAAAAAUCAUGUAGAAGGGGGGGCAUUGAUAUAUCAAAAAAACAAAAGAUUUAAACAAAAGAUAGCAAGCUGAUCAAAAACCAAUUCAUCACACGAAUGUCUUGUUCUUUUUAGUUUAUUUUUUUUAUCUUUUAUCUUUACUUUCUCUUUCGCAUAUAUAUACUCUUAUUUCUUUUAUUUUAUAUAAAAAAACAUAUAUAUAUAGACAUAGAUAAAAAAUAUUAUAGUAAAAAAAAAAACAAAUUUUUUUUACCUUUUCCGGCCACCGUCCACGGUGGCCUGCGGUGGUUGGCGGCGGCGGCCGGCGACGGUCCAGUGACCAGACGGUGACCGGCCUUGUGGCCGAAAAUCACCUCACCCUUCUCCCUCUCUCUCUCUUUUUUUUUCUUUUUUCUUUUCAAGUGCAAGAAUGAAUUUUUUGAAGAAAAAGGGCCUUUUAUAGCCCCCAAAACGACGUCGUUUUGGGGUUGGCCAUUAAACCCCAAAACGACGUCGUUUUGACAUGGAUCGAUUCGACCCGACCCGGCCCGCCUAAGAUCCGCGUGUUUUUUUAAAGGAAGGGCUAAUUGCGCUUUUAGCCCUUCUGCUUUUUAUUGCUUGGCAAUUAAGUCAUUAUUCGUUUUUUUAAUUUGGCCCCGAAAUUUAUCGCGAUUUUCAAUUUAGUCCUCGCUGAUGUGCUGAGUUUUGAUGGGAAGGAAUAUUUGCUGUUUUGGCCCCCCACUAUUUCCGCGCGUGUUCAAUAUAGUCUUUUCCUUUUAUUUUUAUUUCAAUUUUGCCCCAAAUAUUUUGUUUUUAGUUCAAUUUAAUUCUUUUUAGUUACUUUACUAUUUAAAUUAAUUAUUUUAGUAUUAUUAUUAUAUUUUAUUUACUUAUGUAGUGUGUUAAUAAUUUUUUUUAUCAUUUCUAAUACGUAUAUAUAUUAUAUGUAUUUUAUAUAUAUUAUGUAUAUAUUUUUUAAUGCCAUUAGUUAUAUAUUUCUUAUACUAUUCCAUGUAUGUAUUUUAUAUCAUCUUAUGUAUAUAUUCUUAAAUACUAUUAUAUAUACAUAUAUAUAUUUUAAAUACCAUAUUGUGUAUAUAUUAUUAUUACAAAUUAUUACUAUUGCUAGUAUUAUUAUAAUUAUUAUUAUAUUAGUGUAUAUUUUAUGUACAUAUGUAUAUAUAUUUUUUUUUUGUACAUAUCAUUAUUUUAUAUUAUUGUUGUAAAUUUUUUAUGUAUAUAUUUUUUAUGUACGUUUCCUAAUAUUUUCUUUUAUUGUAGAUAUUAUUAUUAUUAUUAUUACAUACUUUUAUUAUAUGCAUAUAUAUAUUUUUAUGUACAUAUUAUUAUUUUAUAUUAUUAUUACCAAAUAUAUCAUUUUUCCUAUUUUAUUAUUAGUACAUGAUUUGUUUUUAUUUUUAUUUUUUUUGUAAAUAUCAUUAUUAUUGUUAUUCUAAUAUUCUAGUAUUCCAUGUUAAUAUUUUUCAUUAAUGAUAUCAUUUUUUUGCGUCCUUUAUCUAUUUUUAAUUUCUCAUUUUAGGAAUAUUUUUUCUCAUGUUUUAAUUAAUUUCAAAAAUAAGGCAAUGUACCGAUUUAAUAUUAAGCCAUCGAUUUCAUCGCUAUGUUGGGUGAAAUUCGUCUGCUUGUGUUAAAAAACGGGACACCCUUUCUAAAAAAAAUCGAAAACUAAAAAUUCUCAUUUUUCAAUUGGAUCACGAGUAAAUGUCAAAUUGAAUUCGUACUUUUGAAAAUCAAGCCAACACGAGUUUAACAACCAAUUUCUACUUUUGGUCGCUAAUUAAGGCAAUUAUUUGAAAAUUUAAAAACCAACUUUUGAUUUUUUUAAAAAAGGGAGUCGCCACCGAUCUUUUUUCUAGGUGUGACCGGACACCUAAUAAAUCAUCCUUUUUUAGAAAAGAAAACUUAUUCUUGCACAGAAAUGAAGGCCGAAUUUAGGUCUACGUCAAAAGCCAGAGUAAAGUUGGGUUCGGGAGUCGGAUACGCGCGAGGAAGGUAUUAGCACCCUUGCGACGCCCAAAAUUGGUAUCUUGUUAAACUCGUGUUGUCUUGAUUUUCAAAAGUACGAAUUCAAUUUGACAUUUACUCGUGAUCCAAUUGAAGGAAAUGAGAAGUUGUAAGUUUUUGGUUUUUUAGAAGGAUAUCCUGUUUUUAACACGAGCUGACUAACUUCACUCAACAUAGCGAUGAAAUCAAUGACUUAAUGUUAAAAUCGGUACAUUGCCUUAUUCUUAAAAUUAAAAUGUAAAAAGUUUCUAAAAUGAUAGUAAAAAAAAUCUAAGAAUAUUAUUGUAAAAAAUGCGAAUAGUUAUGUGAAUAAUAAAGUAUAUAAAAUAUAAAAUAUCAAAAUAUCAAAAUAUUAGAAUAAUAAUAAUUAAUAUUGACAAAUAAAAAAAUAAAAUAGAAAUAAAUAUAUAUUAGAAAUAAUAAUAAUGUUUAAAAAUAAUACUAUUAAUAAUACUACAUAAAUAUGUACAUAUAUAAAAAAUAAAUACGUGAUAAUAUUAAAAAUAUGUACAUAAUAUAGUGUAAAAAAUACAUACAUAAUAUAAUUAAAAUAUAUACAUAAGAUAACAUGUAGAAAAAAAAAAUAUAAAUAAUAUAGUAUUAAAGAUAUAUACAUAAAAUAGUAUAAUAUAUAUACGUAAUAUAGAAUUUAGAAUAUACCUAAUAUAUUAAAAGAAUAUAUAUAUAAUAUAAUAUUAAGAAAUAUAAUAAUAACAAAAAAAAGAGAGAGGGAGAGAGUGGGUGAUUUCCGGCGACAAGGCCGGCCACCGUCCGCUCACCGAACCGCCGCCGACCGCCGUUGGCGCCACCGUACACGGCAGCCGAACCUCAAAAAAACUUUUUCGGUAAAAAUGAGAAAGCUUACUCCUUUUAUUUUUACUUUCGUAUAAAAGAAACAAAAUAAAACUGAAAGGAAAACAAUAAGCAAACAAAGAACUUAAAACGAGAAUAGACAAAGAAACCUCUUUUGCUUUGAUCUUUGAUUAAUCUCAAAAAAAAAAAAAACUAGCCUCUCCAAAAACUAAACUUUACAAUAACUCUUCUCCUUGAUUACUCUAAAAAAACCUCUUAAAAAUCCUUUGCAAUAACUUUCUCCCCCCCCAAAAAAAACUUCUUCAAAAAAAAAUUCUCAAAAAAAAAACUCCUCAAAAAACCCCCAUUUUACAUGAUUUUUGAAUGGCUCUUUAUAGCUAUCUUUUACAUGAUUUUCUAUUAUUUGUUUUUCUAUUUCUUUUGUCUGUCUUGCUUGUUUGCUUUGCUUUUGCAGGGUGUGGCUUGGUGGAGUAGGUGAUGGUGGCAGACAAUGGAUAUAAAAAAUGGGAGGAAAAUGAGGCAAGUGGGAAAGUGGCUAGGUGGCUAGGGCUUCUUAUUUUUUUUUUAGGUUAGGUUUUUUUUUUGAGUUUAAUGGGCUUUUGAAUUGGGUUUAAUAUUUGGGUUUUGUAAUGGGUUUGGGUAGAUGUAAAUGAGUCAUGGGUUAAGGGUUUUAGUGGGUUUAGAGGUUUGGUUGGGUUUUGAUGUAAUCGGGUUCGGGCAAUUUGGGCUUCUACACGUUUGUAAUACAAGUGUUUUUUUUGCUCUCUUAGAUCUACUAAGGUUGGAGGUUAGAUUUUAGUGCUUUAAAACCCGAAACUUAAGUGGUUUUACUUAUUGUGUUUGUCACUUCCUGCUUCAAUGUCUCUAUAUAUCUUUCUUUUCUUAAUUUUGAUGUUACAGGCUGUAACUGUUUUUGUUUGCAAUAGUUUAUCAUAGGCUUACCAAGCAUUUUUCUUCAUUAACAUCAACUUCCUUAGUUUUGGACUCUAUAUUCAUUUUAUUUUUAAGGUAGUGUUAUACUAAAUGGUAUUCCUUCAUGUAAUAAUAGAUAAAUAACAAAACCAUAUAUGAUAUUGUAAAUAGAUUCAUGAUCACAACAAGACAACUAAUACCUUUGUAUUUUCUAAAAGAGAAUUUAAUUGUUGAUUUUAGUAUAAGUUUACGUUUGUUUGUUGGUUUAUAGAUGUAUUUUGAUUCAAUUGAAUGAUACUGUUUAAUUUUGUGUCCCAAGUAAUCACUCCCCUUUUUCAUGUGUAUUAUAAAUCAUUUGUUUGUUGGUCUGUACAUGUAUUUGUCUUGCUGUUACAAGCAUUUCUUGUUUAUACAUUUUGAAUUGGCUCAAAUUUUCUUAUACUUCUUGCUCGUACUUAUUGAUUUGUAAUUUCAAUAAUUAUUUUUUGAUCUUGUUUGAUUGAUUCUCUUUUAUGUCAGGCAACUCGCUAUUGCAUUAAUUGGUGUUCCUUUGUUUGAGAUAUUCCUUACGAAGAAGUAAUGUGGAUGGAGUUAGAAGGAUUUAAUGACGACUUCCUUUGUAGUGUAUUUGAUUAUCUUGUGGGUUGUAAAUCUAAGGCCAAAGCUUUUUUAGCUAAAAGUACGAAGCAUAAAAAAAUCUGACUUCAAAAAUUUUCUCAAGGUUGAAGAUAUUGAUGCUUUAAUAUGAUGUAGUACUAAUUAUGUGGUGUAAUACUAGUUAUGCACUUGGAAAAUAUUGUAGUUAUAAUGUGAUAUGCUACUAAUUAUGCACUUGGAUAAUAUUAUUAAUUUGUAGUAUUAAUUGUGGCUUGAAAGCUAAUUUUUUAUUAUUUAAUCUUUGUUUUUUUUAUAACACAAUUAGUAAUCAUCUAUUUGCUUUGGUUAUUUUUAAAUUUUGUUAUUGUUAAUAUUCUAACAUAAUAAUUCAGUACUAUUAUAUAUUUAAUUUGAUGUAUUUAUUUAUAAAAAAAUCAUUGCAAUAUAUAUAAAAAUAAUGUAAAUAUAAAAUAAAUUCAAUUAAACAAAUGAAAAAAUAAUAAAUUCUCAAAUAUAUGUUUGUUUUAUUUAAAACAGUUUUCCUAAAAUAUUUUCAAGAAAUCUGCCAAACAACAGAAAAUAUUUUACACAGAUUCAUCCAAACACCAGAAAAUAUUAACUUUUCGAGAAAAGUAAGUCAUUUUCUAGAAAUCAUUUUCAGUCAGACAAACGCCUAAUAUUAAAUAAGAAAACAAGAAUUUAAAAAACCCAAAUUAAAAGAAAUUUAUUAUUUUAAAUUAAUAAAUAAAAUUAAUAAAAUCAAAAGUAAUUGAGCAUAUAAAAUACAAAAAAGAAAUAUCAUGUCAUUUGUCACAUGUAGAUUAUACAUUGAUUAUUUUUACUACCGCAUAAGAAAUAAAAGUGUUAAUAUAUUAAAGUAAUUUAUAAAAUAUUUGACAAAUUCAAAUACUAAAUUGAGAAAAAAAAAUAGGUACCUAAAAAUUUAAAACCAAUGGGCAAACCCAAUUUUUUUAUUAAAACAAAAAAACAAAUGAUCCCUAAAAAAGAAAAUAGCUCAAAACCCAUUAAUUCAAUGUUUUUUUUUUCAUUAGUCCAAAUUUCAAUCCAAUUUCAAAGCCUAAAAUUCAGAUUUACAUAAUAAGAUAUUUUAGUCCAAAUCAACAAUAGUCUUGAGUUUAAAAUCAGAUUUGAAAAUAAGUUUAUCGCAAAAGUUUCCAUUUGGGUUGGAACCAAAUUUGCUGUCUACAUUAAAUAUAUGUUCUUAUAAUAUUCAUUUUAUUCCCUUAAUUUUUGAGAGCAAGAGUUUAGAGGGUGGCAAAUUACUCGAGUUUUGUCGAUUGAGUCUUAGUUCGAUUGUUAUAAGUAUUGUUAUCAAUGUAAGAGGACGUAGGUUCAAGUAUGCUGCAGCGCAUUAUCCUCCUAUUUAUGAGUUGAUGAGAGAUUAUGGGUAAUUCUAAGUACUAUGUCAAAAAGAGCAAAUAUGAUCAAAACCUAUAUUGUGAUUAUUCAAAAAGAAUUCACUCUCUGAUCCAACCGUUCCAACCUUUUAAUCUACCUCAACUAAUUUUCAAUUCAACAAUUCUAACAAAUAUACUUAGCUUUGAAAUUUGGUCAUGUGUUUGAAUAAUGGUGAAGGACUUUUUUUUUUUCGAGGAUGUCAACAAAUUUAUUGUGAUUGCAGACAUAACUAAUGAGAUAUAUUGUAGGAGGAUAUUCAAGAACCCUCCUUCGAAAGCAAAGCACCAAACAAAGAAUAAAGUGUUAAUUGAGUGACAUUGUAAGGAGAGAAUUGAUACAAAGGUGAACUUAUGUUAAGAGGAAGGUAUAAAAUAAAAAUAAUUUAUACCAUGUCAUUCAAUAUUGUCUUUACACCAUUAUAUGGGUUACCCCAAUUUAUCAUUGUCUGCCUCUUUUAAUCAUAUUUACAUCAUCAUAAGAGAUUUAAAUAGGAGGAUAAAUGCAUUUUAGUUUGCUCAAAUUCAUAUCUUCUUACAUAGACAACGAUGUUAAUACCAACCAAACUAAAACUCUAUCAACUAAAACUCAAAAUCAACACCGAAAGAAAAUUCUAUACUAUAAAUCCUACUCUAUUUUCCAAAGAAUCUACACUACUUUUUCCAGUAUAAUAUAAAUAUAUUCAUAUUGGAAGGGUAACCAAAAUUUCAAGGUCUUAUGUUAUGAAAGUUAAGUGAGUUUGGGAGGGUAUUUAUGAUAUUUGAAUCAAAUUAACUUUCCAUUGUAAUUUAAUCCAAAAAAGUAUUUCACAGAUGAAAGCAAAGAAUUUUGUUGAAGCAUCUAAAAACUAGGCUUUAAAAAAGAGCCAUACACACGCAUGUAAAAGGGUUAAGUGGCCUGCCUAUCUUGGUGCAUAUAGUCUUCAUUUUUCCUUUGUGUUGAUAAAAAAAAUGGUGAUCACGAGGUUUCCAAAUGGUCAAUUAUCCCAAGGAAGCAAAUGGGUUUUAUUGGUUUUCAAAGUAGGGUUCAUGGGGAUGAUGAUGAUGCUCAUGGUUCCUAGUGUAACAUCAAUGGAAGAAAUUGGGACACCACCAGCCGGUUUACUAUGCAUCAGUGAAUGUUCAACAUGUCCUGUCAUUUGUUCUCCACCACCUGCGCCACCGUUGAAGUCGUUUCCGCCGCCCUCGGUGUCGGUUCAUCACACUCCGCCACCGGAUGUACCUUACUUUUACUACACACCAAUGUCACCACAAACUCCCCAACACUCCCCACCACCAUCGGUAUCAGUCUCACCACCUCCAUCUCUGCCACGGCGGCCUCCAUCUCCACCGGCACCUUCCUCCAAGGGCAGUCCACCACCUCCUAUUAAAUACUUCUACAAUGAGCCAUCAGGUCAAGGGCCACCUACUACACCACGCCAGUACCCUUACCCUUACCCUUAUUACUAUUUCUAUUCAUCCAAGGCCUCAUCUCUACCUGUUCAAGUCUCUAUCUCGGCUGUAAUGUUGUUGUUUUUCAAUGCUGUGUUGUUUUAUUGUUGAAUUAUUUGUAUCUUUAUAAUAUUUUUGAGUUCAGUAAGGGCAAAGAAAUGAAAUAUAUAUACACUUAUGUGUAUGUAUGUAUGUAUGUAUGUAUAAAUUUGGAAACUACUUGGGGUGUAUGUUGUUUCAUGAUUUUGCUGGUGUUUAAAAAUCAACUAUAUUUCUCAAUCAACUUGUUAUAGAUUUUUCUUUUUUGCAAUUAAUAUUUUUUUUAUAUAAUGAUUACAUUAAAUUUUAAUAAAAUUUAAAGUUGAAUUAAGUGAAACUUUAAAUGAGAGAAAAUUUUCCCUAAAUUUGUUCCCUCUACUUAAAAAUUAGAAAAUUAGUCUUUGUAUCUUAAUUCAAAGAGCAUUUUGGUAUUUUUAUUGUUAAAAAUUUGAUCCAUUUGUACUGUUAAAAAUUUAUGUGGCUGACGCGAUACGAAUAGUGAUACAUGGCAUGCCACAUAUACAUCAUGUUGACAUAUAUGGACCGGUUUUUAACAGUAAAAAUGAAUGAAAUUUUUAAUAAAAAAAUAAUUUGCUCUUUGAUUUAACUAAUUAAUUUACCCAUUUUUUAGUAAAAAAACAAUACAAUCUAAUUUCUAGUACAAGAGUUUCAUUAUAAUUAGAAAAAAAGGACAAACUCUAAUUUCAUUAACUAACCACCAAUUCAAUUCAUGGUUCUUUCACCAAGAUUUUCUAUUUGGCAUAUAACUUCAAAAGGGAUGCUAAGAUGUGUAUUGAUUAGGUUAAAAAGUGUCUAUACUUUUUAAAUAUUCAAAAUGUAGUUUCUUUAUUUUUAUUUCAACGAAUUUAGUCUUUUUAUUUCUUUAAAAUUAAAAAUAUAAGUCUAAUUAUUAACACCAUUAAAGUUUUUAUUUCUUUUUGUUACAUGACUUCCAAGUGUGUUUAUUUUAAUUUUAAAUGAAUUCUGGCAAAGGAAUUUUAAAAUUUAAAAAGUAUAAAAGACUAAAUUUCUGAAAAUAAAACUAGGUUACUAAAUUCUAAUAAUUUUUCUAUAACUUAUUCAUAGUUUAUUUGUAACAUUAUAAUAAUUUAUAAUAUUUAAUGAUGUUUCAAUAUUUUUUAUAUUUUAAUUUUUUUAAAUAGGAUUAAAUUUUCAUAAAAUAAUAGAAAAAUCAAUUAAAUCCUUCACAUCAUUUUUUUUUCUUUUUAUCAAUUACUCAUGCCACUUCGUACUUAGUGACUCAUUAAGGGCUUUGAUGAAAAAAUGAAUUUAAGGAGUUUAAUUUAGUACAAAUCAUGAUUUAAAAGGUUCAAUUGAGUACACUUUUUAAUAAGGAGUUUAAUUGAUAUUUUAGUUUUUUUCGGAAGACUUUUUUGAAAUUUUAGUAUAUAUUAUAUAAUUUAUAGCACAAAAAAAUUAAAUUAAAUUAAUAAUAAUAUAUGAUACUAUAAUGUAAACACUAGAAAAAAUGUUAAGUUUGCUAAUUUCAAUAAAUAAAAAUAUUAAAUAUUAAAUUUGAAUUUGUAAACACAAUCAUAUUAACCUUGGAAAGAGUUUAGUCAGCAGUAAAAAUCUGAUUUACAUGUUGAUUAUGAAUAUAAAAAGAUAAAAACAUGCUGAUUAAUAAUAUAAUUUAUUUUGUAUAUAAAAAAAUAUUUAAUUGAAUUGAUGGUCUGUUAACUUAUGACAUCAAUUUAAUAAAAUAUUUAAAUAAAAUAUAAAUAACGAAUUAUUAGUUUUAAAUAAUGAAAUAUUCAUUAAAAUAUGUCAAGAAAUUGUAGAAACAAAAUUGGUAGAAUAAUAUAUAUAUGUUAUGAUAUGUAUUUAAAAUGUGUUUAAGAAACUAUUUUAAAUUAAAAUUUUCACUAGUUUGUUGUAUUGUUUUGACUUUCACUUCGAGUGGAAUUUUAAAUUUUCUUAAAAUAUUUUUGUUUUUAAUAAUUUAUUUUUUAAUUUUAUAAUUUUAAAUCUGGAUACCAAAUUACCCAGAUUCCAUUUUUAAAAUAUAAAAUUUUAGAUAUUUUAUUGGCUGAAAAAAUAAUGAAUAUUUUGUUGAUGGUAAUAAACUUGUCUAAUCUAAGAAUUAGGUAGGAGAAAGCAGAAAAAGUGAAGGCUAAAGCCUUGAAAUGGACAUUGAGUGUUAAGGAAAGUACAAAAUUAAUGAUUUUUUGAUAAUCAAAGCCAUUACUAUGUGAACAGCUUAUUUAAUUAGUGGAUCCUCCAAUCUCGAAACCUGCUUUUGUUAAUUAAUGAAGUCAUAAAUUAACUUGGGUUUUAAGUUAAUCCAACUGGAACUGGGUGAUUUAACUAGUAAUUAUAUAUUUUUUCUUUUUGCUCCACCUUUCAUUAAUUCUUGCCUUAAAAGAACAAAACCAAUCAUAUUUUCUUAAAUCUUUAUUUGAAUGGUCAACCCAAUGAUGGAUUUAAAGCUUCAUAAUAUACAUUAGAGAUUCAAUCAUUAAUAUUUUAUUAAAAUCCUAUAAUUGUUUUUAGAAUCGGAUCAAUCGAUAUUAGAUUGGGAAUCGAUCAUGGUAUUGAUCUGAAAUAAAAGGUUGGAUCGAUUGACCCGUAAACUUAGUACAAAUUUUAAUAUAUUUUGAACAAAUUUUGAACAAAUUUUAAUAUAUUUAAUUAAGCUAAAAACUGUUUGAACAAAUUUUCUCUAAUUUUAAUAUAUUUAAUUCUUAAUAAUUUAUUAAAUCAAACCGAACACACUGACCAAAUUGUCUAAAUUGAUUUCGAAAACCUUGCAUAAUAGAAUUCAAAAUAUAUAAGCCCUUAUUUGAGCGUAAACCUUAUUUUAAAUGAAAGGCUGGGUUAUUUUAAAGGUUAAUUUAAAUAUAAAUUAAAAGUUAGGGAUUUAUGUUGUCAUAUUCUAAAGAUAAUGGGUUAUUUUUAGUUUACGUUAAAGAUUAAGAGCAUGUUCAGAGAGAGAAAAAAAAAGGGACUUAUCCAAAGUUGAGGAGAGGCGGGGGCGUUGGCCUUUUUGGCCAAAUGGUGAAAUAUCUAUAGAAGGCCCUCCAAUAAUUAAAAUAUUAAAUUUAAGCAUUUUAAAUCUUUCCUUAAAUGAAAAUUUUUUAAUUUCGGUCUCUUUUUAAAAAUAUAUAAUUUAAUUUAAAUAUUUUUAACGCAAUAUAUUUAUCUUUUGACCCCGAAACCCCUAAACAAAAUUAUUGUCUUUGCCUUGAAGUUGAGGGAUUUUAUUAUUAUUAUUAUUUUAGCCUUGUUUUUUCUUUUAUAAGAUUCGACAUGCAUGUCUUAAUUUAAUUUUGGAGUAUUUAGUUUUUAAAUCUUACAUUACUUUUCAUAAUAGGAUUACGGGAAUGUAAUAUUAUAGGUAGAAUGUGAGAUUAUCUUAUUUAAUUUAUUUGGCUUGAAUGUAAAAUUCAAGUGUUUGAUUGACGGAAUAUAAGGUUUUCUAGAAGUAUAUUUUACUCAAUUGUCCUUGUUAUAGAAUUUGUUUUUUUAAUAGUUUUAGUUCUUUUAAUAUUUUUUAGUCUCAAUUUUCGUAAAAUUAUGAUAAAUUAUUACAAUUCUCACUUUUUAUUACAACUUAUAUAUUAAUAAGUAAAUAUAUUGUGUUAAAAUAAAUUUAUAAAUCAUAAUUAUAAUAAUUCAUGAAAAGUGAUUGCAACACCAACCAUAAUCAUAAUUGUAACCAUAAUUAAUAUAUUAAUAAAUAAAGUAUAAUGAUUGUAAUGUAUGAUAUCUACUAGUUCACUAUUAAGAAUAUAUAUGUAUAUUAAUAAAUACACGUGGAUUACCGUAAGGGUUGUCAUGUUUAAAAAUUUAACAUUUUUGUCGGUAUUUCAAUUAAAAAAUCAAAAAAUUCAACCCUUUGUUGAAAUGUUGAUUGUCAAAUUUGACUUUUUUUUAAAGGUUAAAAGUCAAAUUUAGCUUAAAAUGAUAUUUUUGGUCUCAAAUUUUUAAAAAUUAAAAUCUUUUUAUCAUGAAUUAAAAAAUAUAAAUUUAUUUUUUGAUUUUUUUGAAUAAUCUCACUAUAUAUAGUUUCUGAUCAUAUUUGUUCUGUUUUUUUUUACAGAAUAAUACUUAAAAUUAUUCAUAACCAUUUCUAGCUCAUAAAUAGGAGAAUAAUGCAUGCACUUAAACCCACAUUCUCCUGUAUUAACACCAAUACUCGUACCAAUCGAACUAAGACUCAAUCGACUCUAUCUGUAAGUAUUUAUAUAUGGUGCUAAUAUACUAUAUAUUCAUACAAUAUAUUAAUAUUUGAAGGUUUAUUUCACUUUCAUAUCAUAAUCAUAUCAUAAUCACAUGUAAUAAUAUAUGGAGUGAGUUUUCUUUUGGAGAUUAAAAAUAUAAGUCUAUUAGAACUCUUUUACGUGUAUGAAGAUUCUAUAAUAAAUGUAAACUAUAAAAAAAUAAUAAAUUACAUCGAAGUUUUAAAUAUUUAUGUGGGUUAUUACAUUUAAUUAAUUUCUCAAAAUAUUAGUAUAUUAUUGACCUCGUCAUUAAUUAUAAAUUAAAUUAAUUUCAGUCCUUUUAUUCAGGUUCAAAAUAUUGUUAUAUUAUUAAUCUCGGCAUCGAAGUUAUAAAAUCUCAAUGUAACUAGCAAUGUAACUAAAAAUAACAUAAUAAUUUUAAUUAUUAAACUUGAAUUUAGAAAUUUAAAAAUUAAAAGGAUUAAAAUUUUAAAAAUAAAAGUACAAGACUAAAUUUUAAAUUUACAAAUAUUACAUUGACUUGUGGCAUAUUUUAAUUUUUUAAAAUGUUCUACAAUAAAUUUGGAUUGACAUUAUUAUUUCUUGAUAUAGUUCUUACUACUUUUAUACGUUUAACCACAUUCGAAUAUAUAUAUUCUUAUAUGUUAGAAUACCAACGAUACCAUUAAGCUUGAACUUAUAGCUAGAUCUAUUGAUUAAGAUUUUCAAAAUUGAAUAAUUGGUAGAACUGAUAACGUCAUCUGUUUGUUGGUCUAAUCGAUCUAACCCACUUAACUAGUUCAUUCAAUAGAAAUAAAUAUAUUAUUAAAAAAAUCAUAAAAAUAAAAGAAAAUUAAAAUUCUAAUUCAAUUGAUUUAAUUAUUUUUUUCUAUUCAAUUGAUUUAUAUUAAUUUUUUGGUCAAUCGAUUAAACACCCUUUCCUAAAAUGGUACCGAACUAAUUUUUAAUACAAUCAAUCCGAUUAUCCACAAAUAUAUAUAUAUGAUGAGAAAAUAAAAUAAAAUUUUCAUAUUCUAGUGAGGUGGCAGCAUCUCCAUUGGUUGGAGUGUACUUUUCCCUUCCAUUCCUCUCCUCAAAUUCACUCUUCUUUCUCUCCACAAAUCUCAUCUCUUUGACUCUCCCAUUUCUCGUACCACUCCGCCACUGUUUCUUUUUCUCUUUAACAAUGUCUGUCUUCCCUUCCUCUAAACCAGCCGCCACCACAACCGCCGCCCCGCCCCCAGCCAACGGAGCCACUGCCGGACCCCCAGCUGCUACAAAAACUGCAACCAACGGUGGAGCAACAAAAUCCAAUCUCUACAACCCCACUUCUCGCCAACCUUACCGUCAGCCUUACAACCGCCGUCACCACCACCGUCCCCGCCGAAACUACUGCUGCUGCUGCUGUUUCUGGACCAUCCUCAUCAUCCUUAUCCUUGCCCUUUUAGUUGCCAUAGCUGGUUCCAUCCUUUACGUCCUUUACCGCCCUCACCGCCCCUCUUUCACCCUCGCUUCCCUCCGUAUCCACCGCUUAAACCUAACGACCACCGCCGAUUCCGCAUCCUCCCAUCUCUCAACCCUUUUCAACUUAACCCUUUCUUCCAAAAACCCAAAUUCCCACCUCACCUUCACUUACGACCCAUUCACCCUCUCAUGCGUUACAAGUAACAACGAUGUGUUUAUAGGCAACGGCACAUUGCCGGCGUUCAUCAGUAACAGCAAAAACGAGACAACAUUCAAGGGAGUUGUAAUAACGACAUCAAGUGAUCUAGAUGCCGACACCGUCAACAACUUGAGACCCGAUCUGAAGAAGAAAAAUGGGAUCCCGUUGAAAAUUGAGAUGGAUACUAAAGUGACAGUGAAAAUGGAUGGAUUGAAGAGCAAGAAAGUGGGGAUUAGAGUUACGUGUGAUGACAUUAAAGGGACUGUGCCCAAAGGUAAGUCACCGUCGGUGGCCAAUGUUUCAGGGUCCAAGUGUAAGGUCGAUCUUCGGAUCAAGAUCUGGAAAUGGACUUUUUGAGACCACAAAAUUUCUCAAUUUAGUACCUUUAAUUCCAUUUGUUUUUAGGUCAAUUUUCGGUUUUGGUCUUUCUAUUAUGCUAAAAUUCAGAAUUUAGUCAUUAUAUUUUAAUUUAACAUAAUUCUAUCCCUUUACUUUUAUAAUAUCAUUACUUAGCUCAAUUAGUUAACACUAUUACUAUUUUAUCGGAAUGAUUAGCGAUAGUUACAUGAUUAAUUAUUUGAAUUAAGUAAUGAUAUUAUAAAGAUAAAGGGAUCAAAUUAUGAUAGAUUAAAGUAUAAAGAUUAAACCCUUAAUUUUAAGUAUAGUAGACCGAUAAAAACAAUAAUUUGACUUUUCAUUUACUUGUAUUAUUUUUUCCUUGAUUUCUCCAUGCUUUUGAAUUUUUUUUUUGGGGGGGUUCUAAGAUAAUGUCAUGAAACAAUUGAAGGAUCAAUUAGCAAGCAGAUCUAGGGUGAAUUAGUCUUUCAAGAACAAGUUGAAAUUAGGGGCUUUUUUUUGUUAAUUUUUUUAUUAUGAAGAUAUUUUAUGUUGUAAGUGAAUUUGGGUUUUCAUUUUUAUUUAAUGAAAUGCAAUGUUAUAAAAGAAAAUUAAUAACCCAUUAAUAUAAAAAAUUUACUUUGCUAAAAGUCAUCUACUUGUGUGACAGGUUUUAUAAUUUUAUUUACGAUCACCAUAAAGAAAAGGAAUAUUAAAUUAAUGCUUUUUGGCUCUCUUUUUUUCCCCAGAAAAAGUGUGCUUGGCAUUGCGUGAUGAGCAGUAAACCAAUCGUAUAUUACUGAGGGCUAUAUUUGAAUUUUUUAUUUUUUAUUUUUUUAUGAUAUUAGAAUGUGCCUGAAAGUACUGAAAUUAAUGAUUUUUCAGCUUUUUUUUUCUCUUGCUUUCCGUGAAUCUGAAUCCAAACUGUUCCAUGCAGGAAAUUUUUUUAAAAAAAAAAUCUAGAAACUUGAAAGUACUGGAAGAAAUUCAUAAGUUUGCAACUUGCAAUUAUUUCUUUAAUAUUCUUUUUGUGAGGUAAUUAGUGUAAUUUAUCUCUUUUUAAGUUAUUAAAUUUUGAUUGAAUCCGAUUUAAGCUGGUAGAACCCUCAAAUAAUUUUUUUUCGAAAUUAUUAUCUUUAGUUAUAAAAUUUGAAUAUAAAUUUAUUAUUUAAUUUAAUGGUUUAAUUUCAUUUAAGAUCAAAUAAGCAUAAAUAUAAAUUUUAAUAAAAAAAAGUUUGCAGACAAAGAAUUUAAUUAAUGCCCAAAUUUUACAAGGUUAUGAAUUUAAUUAUUAAUAUUAUAUUUUUAAUUUAAAUAAAAUAAAAUAAAAAGAAAAGGGCAAAAGAUGAGAGUUGUCAAUGUGACAUAUGAUGUAAUAAAUAAUGGGAGUCAAGUGCAUCCCAUGAUGGCGAAAGAGAGUAAUUUCAAGUGCACGUGGUUUCUGUGUCUUAUUGGUCUGCUUAUACAGGGGCAGCUGGAAUUUUGUCAGAUUUUUUCCCUUCUUUUCUUAUUUAAACACUUUAUAUCUCUCUCUAAAUUCUAUCCAAGGUCCCUGUAAAAUACGUUUUUAUGAUUUAAUCCUUCUACUCUAAUUUAUUAUUUUUAAAUUCUUUACAUUUUGAAAUGUAUGGUUUCUGUCUUGGGGCAAAACUUUUUAAAUGCAGAAAGUACAUAUGUUUACAUCGAAUUAUUUGAUGAAAUUAAUGGGAAAUUUUUAUCUGAAAACUAAAAAUAUACAUUUCGAGAUUAAAAAUAAUCAAAUUACGAUAAAUGUAUUAAAUCGAAAAGAUCACAUAGUAUAGGAAUAUUUUAUACAAUUUGACACACACAUAAAUAUACUUAUAUUUAUAUAUAUAAUCCCACUUAGGUUCACUGCCAUUUAUGGGUUUGGACCAUUUGGCUGGUCUUUUGCCUCUUUGGUAAGUUAAAUCAAGACCAAUGAAGACACUAAAAAAAACCAUAGGAAAUGUGACAAAAGGGCCAUAGGGAUUGUGACAACAAUAACAACUACAUUAUUGAUUAUUUCACAUCUAUACCUAACUUUUGGACCGUCUAAUAAUAUAUAUUAAUCUAUACAUAUAAUCGAAUUGUUAUCACAAGUUAAUUAGGUAUUAAUUCAUUUAAGAAAAUUAUAUAUAUAAUGAGAUUUGAAUCUAUUGCUAAUUGCAUUAGUAAAACCUUAAAUUAAUCACUUGACCACAGUUUUAUUUUAAUAUGCACAUUUUAAGAGUGUUGUUGAUUAAGCUGGUUUCACAAUUUUAUCUAAUGUAACUCGACACCAACUCAGGAUUAAUGACAACACAAUCUUAAAGAAUUGUAUUCAUUUAGUACUCUUAAUAUUAUGUAUUUACAUGAUUAAAUUUCGUUUUACUCACAAUUUAAUUUAAUUUUUUAAUAUCGUAUAUAUUUUAUGGGUUAUUAUUAAUUAGUUUCAAAUAAUAUGUUUCAUUAUUCGUUGUAUGUUAAUUUUAAAUAUAUCUCUAUGUAUUAAAUACAUGAUUUUCAGUGUGUGUAUAUAUAUAGUGUUAUGUAUUGCAAAUCACUCAAACCAAAAUAAAAUUUAAAUUAUAUACGUAAAAUUUUAAAAAUUUCAAAAUUCGAGAUUAUGAUGAUUAAGAUAAUCAAAAUUUUACAUCAUUCGAUGUUGCUAGAGUACAAGCAUAUGAAUGUUAAAGUUUUUUUUUAUUUUUUUAUUUAGAUAGGAUGAUUUUCAACCUCAAGAGAAAUGGGUGCAUGGGGGACACAAAAUGGAAAGGUAAUAAUGGAUGGAGAGGCAGAAGAUGGUGUCACACCAUGAAGGAACAAGAAUCUCAAAUUGGAUGCUUCAAUGCAUGGAAGAUGGGUCAAUCAAAUCUUGGCAUACCCUCCAAGAACAAAUUAUUAUGAAACAAAAACAAACAAACUAUGAUAUUAUAUUCAAAGUGUUCAAAAUUCUAAUUUCAAUAUUUUCGAUUUUUUAUUUUUGUUAUUUACUUAUUUUGUACCGCAGGGACUAGAUUAUGAAAGUUUAUCAAGAGACGUACACAAGAGGGGGUGAGAGGGACAAUGCUGAAAGCUAGAAGAUAAGUGGAGAAAAUCUUAGAAGCAGUUAAAAAAAAAGGAAUACUGCAUUUUCACAUGGUCUUGUCUGCUUCAAUAGCAUAUUGCCAAGAAAACCAUUUUUCGGCCGAUCUAAAGGGUGCCAAUCGGCUGGGUUUGGGGGCUAAUGGCUAAAUUUGCGGUUCAUGUAAAUCGUCAAUGCCAAUAUAUGUACAUUACAACAAAAGCAAACUCAAAUAAUCAGCAUAAUUAGUUGUAAUUGUCAACAAUCUUUUAAAGGGUUAGUGUGGAAUUCAUAUUUUCUAAAAAAUAGUUUAUACAAUCAACCAUAGUAGGGACUUAGCAACACAAUCUAGUCAGUUUGGCCUCACGUCCUAACAACACUUAUCAAUCCAUCACAUUUGACAGAUUCCUAAUCUAAUCCCUUCAAGUCAACUCUAAUAAUGCACUCAUCAAUCCAUUAUAUUCAAUAGAUUCCUCAUCUAAUCCCUUCAAGUCGACUCUAAUAAUGCCCUAGCCUAACAUCAGCCACCCUAUCAUAACACUUAUACUCAAUGAUUGGGAUCCACCCGACAUCCCUCCUUCUAUAAAUACCCCCUUAAGACCAGGGUAAAAGCUCUUCCUACAAUUUCAUUGGAAUUCCCAAGUAUAGUUGAUGUGAGAAAAGUGGAUAUAAAAAUAAUGGUGAAAAUUAAUAUAUAAAUUCAAAGCUCAAUAGUCGUUACCAUUUUCUACCACUACUUACAAGUACAUGAGAUUGUUGCCAAGUAAUAAAUUACAACAAAAUAUUUUCGUUGAAGUAUUCCAAAAGUCGGUUUUACUAAAAUAUUUUGUAACUUAUAAAAUAAUAAAAUGAAAACAUCAAGAAUUUAAUCAAACUAAUAUAAAUAUAAAAAUUAACUAAGAAUAAAUAAAUCAACUUACAAAAGAGUAAAAAUUAAUUAUUAAAGCGAAGAAAUAAAAUAACUAAUUUGGUAAUUGAACCUGCAAUGCAAAAUAAAUCAUAGUGGUGGAGCUUAUCUUUAGUUAAUGAGAUUCAUUCAGUUAUUGAUAAGUCAAUGGUUCAUGAUUAAAAUGGUAUCAAGAUGUAGGUGUCACGGGCCGCAGUACAAAGCCCAUGACCAUCACACCAAAUGUAUCUGAUGGAGGUCUAUUAUUUAGAUGGGGAUCAUUUAGCCCGCAAAAACUAGCUUGAUUUAAUAAGCUGUUGGAGAAGCCUGUUAGAUUGAAGCCUGGGUGGCCCAAUGAUGAAAAUAUGACAACUUAGGCUAUCUUGAUAAGUAUGGGAACUAAUUUUAAAAAUUGUUAGGGAAUCAUAUCUUAUAAAGAUUAGAUUUGAUAUGAUGUAAUCUUGUAAAUCUCUAAAAUCAAGGGAUAGGCUAAUCUCGUCCGUCGAUGUAACUUGAUCUUAACCGUCAGUUUUGGGGGAGCUCAACUAUAAAUAAAGAGCCUUCCCCUCACUUGUAACUCGACUCCAUUCAUUGUUUUAUUAUUCUUCUUAAAUAAGAGAAUAUUGAGAGCAUUUACUCAAACAACUCUCGUGCGUUCUUUUUAUGUGGUUUUCUAUUGUUUUUUUAUGGCUUCUUUUGGCGUAAUCGCUUCUGCUAUACAAAUUGGUGCAUUGGAAGAGUUUUAAAAGAAUCCUCACUUUGUGGUGGUUAGGCUAACUUAGUCAAGUUUGGAACGAACAGAUUGCUUAAGGCCGUACGGAUUGCGAGACGAAAGAUCUAGCCCUGUGACAAGUGGUAUACGAGCUACUGGUUGUGAAGGCACUGUUGGGAUGUCGAAAGAAGAGUUCGAAUAAAGGUGGGCCAGAAAAUUAGUCCCUUUGAGGGAGAUGCUGCCAGUUGUUGAAGAAUGUAUGGAUAAACUCGAGGGAUCUAUGAAAGACGUAAAUGAGUCACUCAAUGUGGUCGAGGAUCGCAUAGACAACUGGAAGGAACAGUCUAGAGAUUAUGUGAAGAUGUUUCUUGAUUCCACUAUGGAUGAGGUAAAUGAGUUGUUUAAUUCACAUAGGAAUAAGCUGACGAAAAGGAACGGUGCUUUCAAAGCCAUGGUGAUUGCUUUAAAGGAGGAAACAAUGACCACGACAAUGGCUUUGAACACAAGAAUAAAAGAGCUUGAGAAAACCUGGUCUUGUGUCGAGCAGCUGUAGGGAAAGGAGUGUCAAAUGCAGCACUUAAUUACGAGGAUGUCUCAAAGCCAAAAGAGUUUGUGGAGACAAGGUCUGCAUACGAUGUGGAUAAUUUCUUCUGGAGGAUGGAAAACUACUUCUGUGCCAAAGGCAUCAUAGACGAUGCGGUUAAGGUAAAUACUGUUUCAAUGUUUCUUAUUAAUAUUGCACUUUUAUGGUAGCGAGGCAGGUCUACAGAUAAAAGGAAAAUUGAGAUUGAGACGUAGCAAGAGUUCCAAUGUGAGUUGAAGGGACAAUUUUACCCAGAAUUUGCUGAGGAAGAAGCUCAGGCAAAGUUGCGAUGGUUAACGCAACAGGGCAUGAUGAAGGAGUAUGUUCGAGAGUUCAAGGAAAUCAUGCUCCAAGUUUCAGAUGUGACCGAGAAAGAAGCAUUGAUUAUUUUUAAAAAUGGAUUGAAGUUUUAGGUCAGACAGGAAGUGGAACAAAGAGGUGUCCAAAGCUGUCGAAGUCAUAACGGUAGCGGAGUCCGUGGUCAAGCAUGGUCUAGAAAAAGACAAACUUAGAUCUUUCAAGUCUGAAGAAAGGGGCGUAUGUAAAAAGAAUUACAAGGAAGAUAAUGAUAGCAGUGGCAACGGUGACGAUGGUGGUAAACCACAAGUUGGGAAUAAGAAACCCAACAGAAAGAGGGACAAGUUGAAAUGCUUUCUUUGCGACGGUCCUCAUAUAUUGAAGAAAUGGCUGAAGAAAUUCGCACUUUCUAAGAAGGAGAAACCGGAAGGUAAGGCCUUAAGACUUGGUUCGAGCGCAAGAAGUGUCGAAGCCAAGGAGGCCGAAAACAAAAAGAAGCCAUUGGAGUGCUUUUUGUGUCAUGGUUCGCAUAGGUUGCGGAAGUGUCCGAAAAGUUUCUCAUUGAAAAGGACAAUGGAGUAGACAACGAGCCCAAAAAGCUUGGUUCGAGCAAGGGAAAUGUCGAAGCCAAGAGGGUAAAGAGGAGCAAAAAGAAGAGAGUAAAAUACUUCUUGUGCUGUGGUCCGCAUGAGUUUCGAAACUGUCUAAAGCAAUCUAAGUCAGUUGUGGUCAAAGAAAAGGCAAUAUCGGAGCUUAUUGAGUCUCGAAGGGGAUUCCACAUGAGGAAGAUGUGAGUUUGUCAUCGAACUUAGAGGAAAAAUUUGCAAUAAAAACAGUGAAGCUAGGACUAAUGAGACUCAAUUUGAGUAAAGCGACAGAGUUGGCUGAGUCGUCGGUAAGGCUUUCACCCAUGGAAGAGGUGAGUUUGGCAUCGGAUUUAUUAGAAGAAGUCGCGAUGCAAACCUUGAAGCUGGGAUCAAUGAGGCUCAUUUUUGUUGACACAUCAGCUACCAUCCAUGAGAGAGGUGAGGCGUGCAUCAAGCUAUGGGAAAAUGGUAAUGCAAGUUGGACAGUUAACCCGAGUAGACACAACGAGGAAGGUACAUUCUAAACACUAACAGUGUUUUGUGUUCUAACUUGUUAACUUGACAAAAACAUAGGGAACCCUUUCGAAGUUCUUAAGGAAGGGGAUCGAGGGACUGUGGACAAUUCGAAGCCAAGUAUUGUGAAUCAAGAUGAUUCUAUUCGAAGCAAGUUAAAAUGUGGGUAAGAGAGUGACAUAACUUCUUGCCAUCGAGAUGUACAAAUGAGUGAGAUAGUUCGACUAAGAGGCGAUGUAAGCUAAUGCAAAAGUUUCGAAGAAAGGAAAAAGCUAAGGCAUCGAGACGAGACCGAUGUAAAUCAAGUCAGUGUCAUUCUAAAGACGCAAUGAGGGCGUUACGAGAAUGGGUGUGAGAGAAUGUCAUGGGCCGCAGUCCAAAGCCCGUGACCAUCGCACCAAAUACAUCCAAUGGAGGUUUAUUGUUUAGAUAGGGAUUGAUUGGCCCACAAGAACUGGCCCGAUUUAAUAAGCUGUUGGAGAAGCUUAUAAGAUUGAAGCCUGGGUGGCCCAAUGAUGACGAUAUGACAACUUAGGCUAUCUUGAUAAGUAUGAGAACUAAUCUUAAAAGAUUGACAGGGAAUCAUAUCUAGUAAAGAUUAGGUUAGAUUUGAUAUGAUGUAAUCUUGUAAAUCUCUAAAAUCAAUGAAUAAGUUAAUCUCGUCCAUUGAUGUAACUUGAUCUUUACCGUCGAUUUUGGGAGAGCUCAACUAUAAAUAGAGAGCCUCCCCCUCACUUGUAACUCGACUUUAUUCAUUGUUUCAUUAUUCUUUGUAAAUAAAAGAAUAUUAAGAGCAUUUACUCAAACAUCUCUCGUGCGUUCUUUUCUAUGGCUUUUUUCUGUUCUUUUGUGACUUCUUUUGGCAUAACCGCUUCCACUAUACAAAUUGGUGCCUUGGAAGAGUUUUUAAAGAAUCCUCACUUAUGGUGGAUAGGCUGAAUUAGGCGAGUUUGGAAUGAACGGAUCACCUAAGGCCUCACGGAUCACAACAAAAAAGAUCUAACCCCGUGACAUAGGUACCUGCAUUAGUGUAUAGCUUACAGGUGUUUAGAGAACUUUACAUUGGUGUAUGUCUUAUCAACCCCCAUGACCUAAGUUGGUGUAUAUCUUAACAAGUUUAGGUAACUAUUCAACUAGAUUGUUAAGUUAAUCGAACACUCUGUACGUUUAACUCUCCCUUAAAUUAUUCUUUAACCUAAUUGUCACCUAGGUUAAUUAUAAAGAACGAAUUGAGCAAUUAAUCUUGCUACUAACUUAAACUUAUCUAUAACCUGUAUCAAUUAAUAACCCAUUAACUUUCGAUUUGUUUCACCACUAUUUGAGCCGAUUAUUUCAUAACAAGCAUCGAAACAACAAACAAAAACAAUAAAGCAAACAUAACAAUAAUUGAAAAGAGUUUGAGAGAAAAAAAAAACUUCUUAAAAAAACUUAUUAAACAAUUACAAUUCUAAAUUUCAAUCCAAGCUGCUUUGGUACACUUACUUUGGAAAGAUAAUUAAAAAGAGAAAAAUAAGAAAACUUAAAACCUAAUUAAGCACUUCUCUCUUCUUUCUAACUAAGGCUUAAUUGUGGUUAUUUAGUCUUGUGUUGAUCUAAUUAGGACUUCAUUCGACUUGGGAGUGAAAAAUAGAAAUCAGGAGCAAAAAGACAAUAAAGCAACGCAACUUGCUUGUGUUGUGGAACAUGGUGCCGCAGCGCGCACGUAAAUUCAGUGCUCCUAUGUUUUUUCUUCAAUUUUCGGUUCACGUCUUGCUUUUGCUCAUAGUCGAAUUUGCUCCUCUUGCCAAAUUGGAUCUAAUUAAGACUAAAACACCUAUUGAAAUAACAAGCAUUAACUAAAAUUAACAUAAAAUGUAAAUAUGACGCAAUGCAUUAAUACUCAAAUUAUGCAACUAAAUGCAAUACUUUAAAAACUCACAUAAAUCCAAAUGAACACGGUACAAAAAUAUCUAUAAGAUGAUGACUCAUCAUACUCCACACAACUUUUACUUGUACUAAAGCAAAACAAUAAUUCUAAAAUGCAACCUAAAGAAAUAUUUAACUUGACUUUGACAAUUGAAAACAUAAGUAUAUACAGCUAGAUCUCAUGAGCAAGUUACAAUGUAUAAAGUUGAAAUCUCAUAGGAUAAGUAAAACAUAACAGCAACAAUAUUUUAUGUAAUUAGAAAAAGAAUAGAAAUAAUAGAUCUUCGUGCUCGAAUGUGCAACUAUCCCUCUGAUAAUGUGCAAAGCAUAACAAGAUUCAGAAUAAUCUAAGAGAAAUAACCAAGUUCAAGCAUACUUCUAAGAUAACUUCUUUGGACUGAGUAUAAAGAUUGAAUAUUUCUUCUUCCCCUUUGUUGAGCAUAAUACUAGUUAUAUAUAGUUUUCAAUUAUUGAAUUUAAAAUGAUUUCCUUUGAAUGCAAGCAUAGAUGACAACUUAAGCACUCAAUCUGAAUUACGUGAUUAAUCACAUCUAAAUAAUUUUUGGCUUUACUUGUCACUAUAUCAAUGGAGUACUGUCCUAAAAGAAUAACAAAUUUUUUGACUUGAAGAUUAAUAACAGCCAAAUACCUGAUCUCGAUUAUUCAAUUGCACGUUUAGCUAUUGCAUUAAAAAAUACUAAAUCUUUUGACACGAAGAUUAAUAUCAGAUCAAGCUUAAAGCUUGAAGGAUAACUCAACCUUUGAACAUGAUUCCUUAGAAGUAUAUUACAUCACACCUUGUCUACCUAAACUCUUUUAGGUUUACCUCCCUAUUCUCGGCUACAAUUUUACUAGCUUCAAGCAUCCUGAAAGACAAACUCCGACUCUUCCUAACUCACUCACCUUACAAUAAAAUCAUCGAGCAAAAUCCAACAUAUUAAACCCAAAAUGGAGUUAACACUUCAAAAGGCUACAAUUUUCCCUUUUAAUUCUUUAGCUUUUUCCUUUGUUGUCAAACAUGUAAACAGAAAUACUUUCUGUUUUGUGCACAACCUGCUUUGUGAAAACCAUAUUUACAUCAUAGCUAGAGAAAAAAAAAGAUACCAAAAAUCAGUUCUAUCUAUCUAUUCCUUGCCAUUAGUGAGAGUAAACAGGGAAGCACCACCGUUGAGAUCAUUCUUCAGCUGAUGUUGGUUUAAGCCACCCCUUUGCUUUGACACAUGUUGAUCACUGAAAUAAAAACAAUGCCUUUUGAGUUGUCAAUUUAUAAAACAAACAGAUUGCUAUAUGUUUCACAAGAUCUUAUAUUUAACUCUUCUAUACGUUGCAAACUUUCUACUCUCAUGCAUCUUUCAAUUCUUUCAACUAAGAAUUUUUCUCAGAGGACAGUACAACCAGUUAUAUGCAACUAGCCCUGGAAAUGAAUUAUCUCCAACAUACGUAUAAACUCAUACUUUGAAAAUCUUAUCUUUUACAACCAAUUUACCUUACUAAAGCAUAUGCAACUAGCCCUGGAAUUGAAGUAAAUGUUCAAAGUGCUCAUUAAAGUAUUUACUAGUAGUCAGGAGUCAAGCCGGAUCAGACCCAUUUCGAGAGCAAGCUCUCAAUACUAUUUUUUUCAAUCUAAGAAAGGCAAUGAAUUCUUUUCCAACUGAAAAAACAUCAACUAAAUCUUUAUAACUAUAGUAAUAAAAAAAGAUUAAUGGAUUCAUUUAAUGCAUUUAAAUCCUUAUGACCAAUAAAACUUCCUUUUACACCACCUCAAACUCGCAUUGACAAUCAGAAAAAAUAAAUCAAAAUGUCAUGCUAACUUAUGGAAUAACAAGAUACUAACCAAAGAAGAAAGGGAAAAAAACCCAGUUUUGUUAAUAUAAAAAAUAAACCCAAAAAUCAAACCUGUUUUGAAUUUUGGAUCCACCAGAGUCAACGCAAAAUGUUUGCUUCUCUUUCUUAUCAUCCGAGAAAACAACAUGCCCUUCUGAAUCAAAUGAAAACGAUUGGUCUCUCUUAUUAUCACCAAACAAUGGCUUCAUAUCUUCAUCCACAUCUGAUAAAACAUUCGAACCCUCCAAUUCAGCUUUAACAAGAUUAGAUUCAAACACAUCAUAGGCAGACAACAAUGGUGACGACGACCCACCACCACCACCAUCAAAUAUACUAAAACCAGCAUCCAAAUUCUGAUCACCACCAUCAUUGUACUGCUUCUGCGGCUGCUGUUGUUGGUAUUGAGUAAAAACUGACUGUGAUUUAUAAAUAGCAAGCUGUUGAUUAACGAGAUUAAGUUGAGUCUUGUACUCACCGAUUUUGUUAUUCAAGUCGCAUAUCAACCCAUAACAACCGCCAACGGGGUUUUGUGCCCUCAUAUUAGCUUCAAAAAUGAUGGUUCUAAUGGCAAUAACACGUUGCUGAAAGUUAAGAUUUUCUAUGAGCUUGAUAAUAUUUCGAACCCCAAAAAGUUUACGGGUAUUAAGGAAAUCUUUAUGGCGAUUAGCAGGGAAAAAUGGAGCCAAAAGACAGUUAUUGGUGCAUUUUCUACGUUGGUAUUUACAAACAGCACAAGCUUGUGAACCAGUGGCGCUGUUGGUCGCCGUGUGACUUUGCAUACUAUUGGGAUUUGUGCUCUUAAUAUAAUAAUUUUAUUUCAUGGAUAAUUUGCAGAAAUCCAGCCGCAAAAUAAUCCCUGAAUUACAUUAAAUAAGAACAGGAGAAAAUAAAGAGAGAAAGAAGGAACCCUAAGCCAUUCUUUUUGUAAACUGAUUUCCUUUUUUGUUUGGAGAAAAAUUAGGGAACGUGGUACUCUACGUGCAAUCGUUCUUUUAAAUUAAUAAAAUAAUAUAUAUUUUUUAAAAAAUUUGAAACAAUUUUUUUAUUUAUUUAUUUUGAUAAUUGCAUUUUGAACUCUAAUUUAUCUGCUUACUUGAUUUUGAUGUUAACUUUUUAUUAGAAAAAGAGGUAUUUUUUAGUAUUUAAAUUAAACUCUUUUUUGUUAAAUAUAUAGAAAGCCCCUUUAUUUUUUUUCUUUUUCUGUGUUUUUUUUAGUUUUAGUCAUUUUUUUUUGCUAAUUUUGUAAAUACUAUUUUUUCUUUAAACUGUAACAUAUAUACUUUAACAUUUUUAUAAUACACAAAAAUGUAUAUAUUUAUUUGACGGUCCAAGUCUGGUUUGGGCUGUACCCUAACAAAAUUUUUUGAGGGAUAAAGUUGUAAAUAUGAACUUUAAUUUAAUAUAUAAUGUUAAAUAUAAACAUCAAUUUUGUACAAUUUUAUAUAUACAAUGUUGAUUUAAGUUAAUUUUCACAAACCACAAAUGCCAUUAUCUAUAUAACAUUAUUUUACAUUUACAUAUCACGUAUACAAAUAAUUAUUAUUAUUCAAUAUAAAAAUAAGUUGAUGUAUUUUUUCUUUAAAUAUGCACAAUUGCUUCAAAAUCAAAGUUUUUUUUGUAUAUAUUUGAACUACAAUCAAAAUUUUAUGUGUAUAGUAUAUCAAAUUAAAGUUCACUUAUAAAUAUAUUAGCCCAAAAUUUAUGUAUAAUUUUUAUAUUUAUCUAUUUUCUAAGAUAAAUACUUCCUUUGAAUUAUCACAGUUAAUAAUUUUUAGUUAAAAUUUUAACCUUUCACCUUAAUUAUUUUAAAUAUUUUAAUUAAUUAAAGUUUAUAAAAAUAUAUUUAAAAAUCACAUCAUUGAAAUUUUUCAUUAUAUUUAUCUAUAGUAAAUUUUAAAGAAUAAGAUCUCAAAAACCAAAUAAAAUUGACCAUGCUUUUUUAAAAUUGUAUAAUAACAAUUUCAACUUUUAAUUUUAUAUCUUUUAUUAAAUUAACCACUUUUCUAAAAUUAAAUUUCGCACUCAAUUUUCAAUCUUUUAAAAAGUGCAUUUUAUUUAAAAACAUUUAAUGAAUCCAUUAAUCUUUUAUUAAAUUAAAUUUUACUCUUUUUAAAAAAAUUAAUGAUUAAAUUUAACUAAAUAAUAAUAAUAAUUAAAUUGACAAAAGAUCUAAACAAAUAAGGUGGCACGUUCUAAUUGGCUGGUAGGUACCAUACCAAAAUGAAUGAAGGUGCAAAGUUGACACCGAAGUAGAGUAUAAUUCAAGAGCUGAAUUUUCUUAGAAAUUAACAAAAGUUACCCAAAACCUGCAUUUCGUUUAAAAGCUUCCAUUACAUUAUUACAUUUUUAAGUUUGGCAAAAAGGGACCCUGCAUUUCCCGACUUUUUUACUUUCCAAAAUAACACAAAGACCAGGUAAUCAAAAUAUACUCCAACAGCAAAAUGGUGAUAAUAUAGCACUUUAUUAUUAAGGCUUUUUACUAAUUUAUCCCAAGGGGAGUAUACUCUUAAAUGGAACAUUACCACUGUACCACGAGUAAAUUUGUCAAAAAGGGUGUUCAGGAAAAAUUGGGGUGGAGGGGGAAGCCAUGCAUUUCUCCACAACUCGACUGCUACUUCCAUGGCAAAGUCACUCAUUUUUCUUAUAUAUCUUUCAAUCCAUGGUCGGACACAAGGUUGUACAUAACUAAACCCAGUGGCAGCAGAGCAGCAGCAGCAAUCAGGUUACUAAAACCUAAAGGCCGGAGAAGAAUAUAUGUAUGUGCACAUUCAGUUAAAUAAAUGACCAACAGGCAAGAAACCCUACCAGCUCAUUCCAUGCUAAGAUCCAACGGGAGCAACCCCUUUGCCUUUAGCUGCAGCAGUUGCAGUUGCAGUGGCGGUGGCGGUGGCUGCUGCUACAGCGGCGGCAGAUGCGGCUGGAAUUGCACUUGAAGGCACUGGGUUGGACUUAGAUCCAUUCUGUGGUUCAAUCCUCUGUUCACACUGUUCUUGCUGCUGCUGAGAGUUGAACUGGGCAAGCAUAGCCUCAAUCUGGCUUCCUGUGAGUGUCUCAUGCUCAAGCAAUGCCUUAGCAAGUGCAUAAUGUUCUUUACAGUGGGUGGUGAGAAUGGUUUUUGCAUUGUUAUAAGCCCUCUCCAGCAACUCCCUCACUUCUUUCUCGAUAAGAAGUCUAGUCUCAGUGCUCAUGCUCUUGCCGUUGUCAUUAUAAAAAUGAGUAACAGGCCCCACUUCUUUACUCAUGCCAUACCUUGUAACCAUUCUUCGAGCUAGAUUAGUCGCAUUCUCAAGAUCAGACACUGCACCAGAGGUAACUUCAUUUUCCCCAAAGAUAAGCUCUUCUGCAACCCGUCCUCCCAUAGCAACAUCAAGCCUCGCAAGCAUCUGCUUUCGAGAAAAGCUUGUUUGAUCCUUCUCAGGCAACUGGGACACCAUGCCAAGAGAGCUUCCUCGAGGGACUAUUGUUGCUUUGUGAACAGGAAGUGCCCCAUUAGUAUGGAUUGCAACAAGGGCAUGGCCAGCUUCAUGGAAAGCUGUCAAUUUUAGUGACUCCUCAGAAAUCACAGCUGACUUGCGUUCACUUCCCAAUAUGAUCUUAUCUUUUGCAAAUUCUAGAUCAGUCAUUGUAACUGCUUUGGCACCAUCCAUUGCAGCCUUUACAGCAGCAACAUUGACCAAAUUUGCUAGAUCAGCACCAGAGAAUCCAGGAGUACCUCUAGCAAUGAUCAUUAAAUCAACAUCCUCAGCCUUCAAGACCUGUAAUGAACAAGAACGAAUCUUUAGACAUCAUGGCUGCACACAAUUAUUCUACCAAAAAUAUCACAAAAACUAAUCGUUAAUAUAAAUAUAAGACAAACCUAAUACGGAAAAUUAGACAACAGAAUGUUGAUGCAACUAAAGCAACAUGUAAAACAGCAAAGACAAUAAUUAGAAUCAUGUUUGAAAAGCUAACAUCAAGCCAAAUGUUAUGGAACAUGCUCCAAUGGGGCCUGCCAAACACAGUCCACCUGAUGUACUGUCACAAAUCUGAUGAAUCUGCCAGUAAUAGCUGUCAACUUAAACUCAAAACUCCUAGAAGAAAUUAACUUCUACAGUCAACAUAAUACCUUUGACAUGUGGGAUUCCAUAAUCUGCCUUCGCCCUUCAACAUCUGGAUAAGGAACGAUAAUGCGACGGUCAAAACGUCCGGGUCUUACCAAUGCCUUAUCCAAUGAUUCUGGAAAAUUAGUUGCUGCUAUCACAAUAACUCCUUCAUUCUGUUUAAACCCAUCCAAUUCAACAAGCAAUUGAUUCAAUGUCAUCCUCAUAUAUUGUUGGUCCUUUGGAUUACGUCUUCCACCUAUGGCAUCUAUCUCGUCAAUAAAUAUAAUACAUGGUGAUCGCUUCUUCGCAGCAGAAAAAAGAUCUCUCACUCUUCGAGCUCCAACACCAACAAACAUCUCUUCAAACUCACUGCCACUGCAGGAGAAGAAAGGUACCCCAGCCUCGCCAGCAAUAGCUCUUGCUAACAUAGUUUUCCCUGUGCCAGGUGGACCGACAAGCAAGACUCCUUUUGGAAGUUUGCCUCCAAGACGAGUAAAACGCUGCAAGAAAGAAAAACAUAUUUAGAGAGUGUUUCUGUUGUGUGAGUGAGUGAAUGAGUGAGACAAAGUUAAGAAAACCAAAACAGCAAUUACCUUAGGAUCUCGAAGGUAGUGAACAAUCUCUUCCAACUCUGCCUUCGCCUCAUCAACACCUUUGACAUCAUUAAAUCUUGUGUUAGAUUCCACCACUUGCACCUCUUCUUGUAGACCAAGUCCUGAAACGAGGAUAUAGUCAGUCAGAAUUUAGAAAAAGACAUGCUCCAUUUGAAACUGAGAGAAAAACUUGCUGCUUAAAGGCUCUACCUUUACUAAUCCCUUUAUCCUCAAUAAGUGCACCAAUACCAGAAAUCAACAAGAAGCCAAGUGCAAGACUGCGAAAAAUACGCCACAAUUGAUCUUUAAAAUUCCCUGAUUCUGAAGAAACCAUGUGGAUAGGAGCACUAGCAGUUCCUAGGGCACCAUUGUUUGUAGGUUUUCCUACAUUUCGCAAAGCUGAAAGUCCACCUUUAAUCUCUUCCUCUCUUGCUGAACUAGAUAUACCUGUAAUUUAAUAUAAUCUCUUAGAAAACAAAUAUUAAUAAAGGCAAAGAGUGGAAACCGUCCAGAAUGAAAUGAACAAAUUAUAGUUUAACAUAGAAUUUCUAAGCAUGUCUUAAAAGAUUUCUCCAGAAAAGUGAAAAAGAAAACAAAAAAAAAAACAGAACAAAAAAGAAGCAAUGUGAAACAUUAAAGAGAGAUAGAGAAGCACAAGAACAAGACCAUGCACCUUUUUGUAAUGUCUUAAGCAACUCACUUUCAUCCAGCCUAUCAACUUUGACUAAUGCUUUAACAUACUCAGAAAGUGCAGAACGGUUAGAAUGUAAUGAUGCCUGACUUUCAAAUAGUCUUAUCACUGCUUCAGGAUCAUUUCUAAGGUAAAGUUCUCUUAAAUUAGCAACUUCACUAGAUUCAUACGCAUCUCGGAAUCUUCGAGCUAAACUGCCUACAUAGCUUGACCUAAACCUCUGUUGGUUACUCAAAAGGCUAUUACCUGCAACCAAACAAGAUUUCAGCUUCGGCAAAGUAGUUUUUGAGUUGAGAACAAUGAAAGGGUAAUCCAUGUAUUUUAUUGAAAAAGAAACAAACAUACCAGAAAGAUUAGUUCUAUUAAACAAGGAACCGAUCCGUCCCGACUCCGAUUGUUGUCGUGAAACCUGUUUUAAGAUGAAGUUGAAGAAAAAUUUCACUUGUUUAUCUAAAGAAUUAACUUUCAAACCCCUGUCUAACAUGCAAUUUGCUUCUUUAGUAAGCAAGAAUAACACACACAAUAUACUAACUAAGCCACACACCAACCCGAUUAGUGCAAUUCUUUACCAUUUCUACCACAAUCUCAUGCAAAAAUUCAUUGAAAAUAUAUAGAUGGAUGACGUCAUUGCUUUCAAUCCCUUAAGAAAACUUUUUCUUUAAGCAAAUGAAAGGUCCCGUACCUCAAUCAGCAUAAGCAAAUGAAUUCUAAUUCCAAUAUUUUUUUAAUUACCUACUCUACUAAAACUUAACUCGAAUUGGAAUGUUCAAUGCAAGAUAUUCAAGACUAGGGUUUCCACAACCCCCAAAUUUUCAGAAGUUUCAUAUCAUGCAAAAUCCAAUAUAUUAAACGGAGCAAAGAAUCUUAAAAAAAUCCUAAAAAUCAGGAGAAAAGAAAGAAGGCAAGGAACCUGAGUGAUUAACCGUCUCCAAGCCAUCGCAUUUUUACAGCGACCAAAAUGAGGUCUGAUCUUUCUAUCUUUUUCCUUAUAUGGGUGCUGAAAGGCGUGUUUGGUUGGCUAGAAAAUGAAGGAAAAUGCGAAAAAUGAAAGAGUAAAAAAGAGGAAAUUCUGGAGAGCAGAACGAACCGUAAGUGAGGAAAUGGCAAAUUCGGUUCGGUUUUUUGUUUUAUUGGUUAUAGUAACAGUAGCAGAAGAUCUUCUACUCCAAAUGACAUGUUUGCCCUUUCAAUUUUACAUUUCUUUUUCCCUUUUUGACCCUUUCAACGUUGUCAUUUUCUUUUAGGAGAUACUUUUGGAUUAAAAUGUGAAUAUCAUGAAUUUUUGUGAAAUUAUUAAUAUUAUUAUAUUUGAAUUUUUUAUAAUUUUAUUAAUAGAUUAAAUUUAAUGUUAAUUGUGAAUUUGGUUAAUUUUAUAUUUAAUUUAUCAAAUAUAAUUUAAGGUGUUUUAUUUAAUUUGAAAUUUAGGGUUUGAUCUUAUUAAAAUUAUUUGGUAAUAUUAUUAACUAAAUUUUUAUUAAAUUAAUUCUAAAAUAUGAAUUAAACAUUAAAAAGUUUUAUCAAAUACAAGUAUCACAUUGGACCAAAAAAUAACACCGAUAUCACAUUAAAAAAAAGUGUCAAACUCAUGUAUCAAAUUAUGUAUUAAGCCGUAAUAAAAAAAGGUUAUUACAAUUGUUGUUGGGAUUGGUUGGAUGGAAAUUUGGUUUGUAUAUCAAAGAUAAAUGAUUGAAUUGACUUUUGAGUGAACCAAUCAAAAUCAAUUAAAUUUGGUCAAAAAAAUCGACUCAAGGGUGAUUGAACUAGUUUUCUUUUUUUUUAAUUAUUAUUAUAAUUUUUUUAAUAAUUUAUUUAAUUAAAAUCGAAUUAAUUGAUCGAAUUGAUUUGACAAUUAAUCUUAUUUUAAAAAUUAUAUUUAUUACAUUAAAAAAAGUUUAAAAUAUUAUUUUCAAAAAAUAAAAAUAGAUGUUUAAGCUCGGCUUGACUCUAUUUUUGUUUUACAAUAUGUUAUAUUUCUUUUGAAAGUUAUUUGGUUCAAAAUAGGGCAGUCACAAGUCCUUAUACUCUUUAUAGAUUUGAAAUUUAAUGUUUUUAUUUUGAUUUUCAAGAAAUUAAUCUUUCAAAUUUUUAAAUUUUAAAUUUAAUUUUUAACAUUAUUAUUUUUGUUAAAUUUAUUGAUGUGAUAUUUAAAAAUAAAAAAAAUUUGGUAAUUAUGUAACUAAAAAAUGACAUUAUAAUGAACCCUAAAUUAUAGAACUAAAAAUAAAGGCUAAUGACUAAAUUAUAGAUUUAUGAAGAGUACAAGGAUUGUAAUAAGUUUUCAUUUUCAUCAUUAAUUUACUUUUUAAAUUUUUUUUUUUUGCAAAAAUAAAAUUGAGUUUUUUGUACAACAAAUUUAUUCAACUACAGAUAUGAAACCCAAAUUUUUCCUUAUUACUUAAUUCUACGUAAAACCCUGAGAUUUUCCCUUUUAAAACCCUAAUCGAAUUUUUUUUUUCAAUCAAACAGAAAUAGUCUCCAUCGACACCGUAAUUUAAGAAAUGCGAAUUUACUGUCGAAUCUAGCUCCAAUAUAACCUUUUCAAGACUUCUAUUGUUGGGCAUCUUUCUCACCCUACAGUUCAACUUGCAAACUGAUCUCCAUCUUGCACAAGAACCCAACGAUCCAAUGUCCAUUCUCAUCCCGAAUCACUUCUGCUAAACCACAUUUACAUACCACUUAAACAACUCUCAAGAGAGAGUCCCACCUCCCCACAGUAGUACAUUAAUGGUGGUAAAAUAUGUAUUACCAUAUGUUGGAUAAGAAUAUGACCAACAAGCUCCAAUCCCAGUUCAUAUCAUGAACAUAUCUAUCAGUUGAUCAAAAUAAUUUUUAAGACAAAAUUAAUGUACACUACCAAUGCAGAAUGAAUUGCCGUCGAAUUAGAUACAAAAACACUCAACAACUUGUUUGCUACAUCACACUAAAACUAAACAAGAUGUUGGAAAACAUAAUAAAACUGACGAUCUACUUAAUCACAGACACAACCACUUUUAACCUAAUCUUGUUGGUGGAUACAGUGGCCGAGACAUAUGGACCGUAGGAUCCGACCCCACACUACUCUUUGAAUCCCCAUCAUACAAACCAGCUGUUUUCUUUAACUGGAACUCAUCCAUGGACUGCAUUUGGAUUCUUCGUAAGGCAUGAUUUGCAGCUCUUUGUUUGGCCUUGGUAGACUCUGUCAAGUUCAUAUAGUUUGGCCUACUAUUCCCCGUCUUCUCCGUUCUCUCUGAAGUCGGCAUUGUAUUCCACGAGACCGGUGUUGUAGAUGUGCAUAUCGAUGAUGAUGCGGAGCUCUCUUCGAACCGGAAUUCGGAACUUGGACUCGAUGAUGAUCUAGUACCUUGACCAAUAUGGGGAGGCUUUGCUGAAAUCCUAGUUGUGACAUUGUUCUUUCGUACCUUCACUGAACAUGGUUCGGUCGGUCUAUUAAUCUUUCUAGACUCUGAACAAGUUUUCGAUGGUGGAGUUGGUUCGGAAGGGUCUGCCUGUGAUUGCUCCAUCAAUCGAGUUUCCCACGGUCGGGCUGCCAUCCAACGUUCAAGCCAACUCCAUCCCCAACUAUUCUUAUCAAACACUUGGUUUUUGAGAUAUGGAACUGAAACCGAACUAUUUGUUCGAGUAUUUGAAUCCAUGUUCAAUCUCCAUUGCUGCAAAACCAAAUAAACUUCGAUCAUCUUUCGAUAUAAACAAUGGUGCAAAGUUUAGGGAAUUCCCUUACCUUUUGUGCAAGAGAAUAAGCAAGUGCUCGUUCUCUCUUGAAAGCACCUUCUUGUCUCAGUUGUAGCUUUAUUGUAACAUCAUCCAAUGUUCCUUUACUAUCACACCAGCCCUCCUGAAAAAAUAUUUCGACAUAGAAUUAUCCGAACAGCUUAUAACGACAUUCAUGUAGGAACCAAAGUUUUCAGUUAGUUUACCUCGGCUUGUUUCAAGAGUUCGGCCUUGCUGCGGUGUUCAUCGAGUAUCUUUUGAACUGCCUGGCCCUCGAUGGACAUUCGGACACGACGAGCUCUAACACGAGCUUGGACACGAACGAGAGCUUGCAUGCACCGGAGUGUCACAGCAGCCUGUUUCCUCACCUGUCGACCGCGAACAAAGGCUUGGAUCCUAACGAUUCCCUUUAAAGCCCUUAAAGCCCUUCUUGCCUGCAAAAGUAUUGCUGGUAAAUAGCUGAACAACAUCACCAAAUGUAUCUGAAACGAGCACGGUGAGCACAAACACAGCAGGGUACAUACCAGCGGCAGACAUGUAUUCGACAUGGCAAAAUAGGCGUGGAUAUGGAAAAAUGAGAAAAACAGAAAACAGACACAGUUUGAUACAUGUUCAAACACAUUUUUUCCUCUAAAUCUGGGAUCAAAUCAUGAUAAAGCCCCUCGUUGAAAGCAUUGGUUUACUUGGGGUAAUGUCUCAGCAAGUCUAGCUUAGUCCCUUCCAUCUAUAUUACUCGAACUCGAGUGUGAACGUUAAAUAUGAGUAUGUGUUUAACACCGAUAGAUUCAAACAGUAAAGAACUACACUACAGAAACUUUCCUUCACUUUCUCAGACACCAAACAAGGAAACAAAGGGCAGAAAAAAGUACCAAGAAGCCUCGGAAAGCAGUUUGAAUGCGGAUAGCAGCCCAUUCUUGCCUUACAACCCUGAAAUCUUUAGGAGGAGCUCGAACCACAGCAGCCAUGGCAGCAGAGAAAGCUUCAGACCUUGGUGAAGAAUCAGAUCCUUCGUAAUCUGCUUUAAACUUUCCUUUAAAACCCUUCCAUGAGGAACCUAUUCCAUCCCCUGAAGAACUCCUCCAUAGCUUCCAUUUCUUGCUCUUGCCACCCAUCUUUUCCUACAAAAAAAAAAACACUUUGGUGAUUAAUUCUAUAUAACAGUAAGGUAACUUUGAGAUGAACCACAAAAAAAAGUAGAGCUUACUUGGUCAUCUUUUACAGUUUUCUUGAGACCAAUAAGAGAUUUCACCCAUUUCGCUGAAGCACCCAUGGUAGUUUCAAAGUAUAUAUUUUUCUCAGAGAUACAAACAACUGUUAUUUAAGAAAAGAAAAAGGAAAUGGGCUACGAUGGAAACAAUUGAUAACAGAGUAUGAGUGACAAAAAGGAAAUCUUUUUGCACCAAAAAAAGGUGGGGGGGGGGGGGAGAGAACCUCAAGUCUUCAACAAGACUCAAAGAGAAAAAGAAUCCCUUUCUUUUAAGAAAAAGGAAACAUAUUUGAGUUAAAAUUUUGAAAACCACUAAGAACCCAAAAUGGUGAGUAGAAAACUGAAAAUAAAGGUCAAAUUCUAGUUUUUAUCCUUCUACUAUGCUCAAUUUGAAAUCUAACCCUAGUUUUGUAAUAUCAUUAGUUUAUACACGUAGGUUAAAUUUUAGUUUUUAUCCUUGUACUAUGCUCAUUUUAGGGGAAAAAAAUUUCACCUAAUUAAUGAUCAGGUAGGUAGGGCAUUCUUCUCUCGGUUAAAUGGGAUAAUUUGAAUUUGAGCAUGCUUAAAUGUGUAUUAUUUCCCGAUUUAAGGGUUUUGAAGGAAAAAAUAGUAGUAAAAUUUGUAUCAAGGAAAAAAAUUUUAAUUAAUGAAAAAAAUCAUUUUUGACCCCUCCAAAAAUUAAUAAUUUAAGUUCAUGUAACAUUUUUUUUAUCUUUAAUCUCUUAAAAAUUUAUAAUUUUUCUUGAUCUCCCUUCCGAGAUUUCCUUACUUCAAAUUAUAUUAAAGGUUAAAAUAUUCCAUAGGUUCUUGUACUUUUAUUUCUUGUUAACAUUGGAUUAAAAUUUUGAAAUCAUAAAAGUAGAAGGAUUAAAUUUUAAACUUGUGAAGAGUACAGGGAUCUAAGGUAUAUGUUAACCUAUGUUAAAUUAAACCAUAAGGACUAAAUCAUAGUGUUAAGUAAAAUGAAGUGUAAAAGUAGAAAUGAAGCAAAAAUAAAAGGACGCAAUAACGGAGUUGGGAUAUAAUUUGAAAUUCAAAAGCAGGGGAGAAAGGAUCCCGCUCAAUGGAAUUCCUUCACUUUUUGAGUCUCUGACAAUUGAAUUUGGAAAUUUGUGUUAUGGCGUUCGAGAUUGUUUGGUCCCACUGUCGUGUGAAAAGGUACGUCGCCUUUGUUUUAUAGAAAUAACAAAAGUUGGAAACCGAAGAAAAUAAAAUAAAAUAAGACAACAAAUUACCCGACAAAGGAUCCCUCUAAUCUGUCCAUUCAAGAUUUUUGUUUGGUUUCUUUUGUUAUACCCAACCCCCUAACUAUGUUUAUGUUGCACUCUUCAUAUCUAACUACUAUUUAAAUUAAAUUGAGAACCAAUUAAUAUAUCAAUUUGAAAAUAAAAAUUAAAACAAUUAAUUUAUGAAUAAAUUUAUUUAUAGAUUGGAUUAUUCAGUCAGGUUAGAAGGUUGGUUCGAAAAGUGAGAGAAUUUGAAUAAAAAAAAUGUCUAUUUAGAAAACAGUUCAGGUCUUGGAUAAUGUUUUUUCAACUCGGGUCUAACUCGAAUUUUUCUACUAUUUUCUUGUUGUUUUCCUACUAUUUUCUCAUUAUUUUGUUAUUAUUGUUUGAAUAUUAUAUAAUUCUUAUUUUAUUAUUAAUUUUGUUACUAUUUUAAAAAUAUUUACUUAUUAUAUUGCACCUAUAUUUAUAUUAGUGUUAUUUAAGUAUAAAUAUUUUUUAAAUUUAUAUAAAAUAUUUACUUGUUAUGUUACUUGAUAUGUUGGGUGAGCCGAAUACUAAUUUUAACAUUUUUAUCCGUAUUAAAAUUCAGAUUAAAGUAAACUAAAACCUAACAAACGGAUCUUAAACUUUGUCAAUAUCUGACCUAACUCAUAAACAGAACCAUUCAAAACCAAUUAAUUUUGUUUUAAUUUUAUAAAUAUUUGAAAACUUUCCUGGUAUCGUAUCUCAUUUCUCCAAAUAAGACUGAAAAAGAAGAAGAGUGGUUAAGCUGGCUUUACGCACACUUGUAUGGACAGUGUUAAAUCGCUGUUCAACUUCAAAAAAAUCCUUUUUCGUUUCUUUUAGAAAAGUUAUUACUACGACACCACUAAAACUUUAAUCCUUUUCAUUUUAAUUUAAUCUCUUUAUUUUUUUUUGUAUAUUUUUAUAAUCUCUUUCAGAAACAUUAUUCUUUUUGGUGAAAAAAACAUUUUUUCACUCCACCCUUAAUUCAAACAACAAUUAAAGUAUAUAGUUUAAUACAGAAGGACUAAAAUCAUAAUUAAUUAUUUUUCUAUAUAAGGUUAAGCACAAGAAAACAAAGGAGAAAAAAAGGUGAG
This 52134-nucleotide long non-coding RNA is filed under the name Gossypium barbadense (sea-island cotton). RNAcentral describes it as "long non-coding RNA (GBAR_LNC005869)". The stretch from base 23430 to 23572 matches the Rfam family "MIR7502 microRNA precursor family". Lineage: Eukaryota; Viridiplantae; Streptophyta; Magnoliopsida; Malvales; Malvaceae. The record is from RNAcentral.